This 60846-nucleotide long non-coding RNA is filed under the name Coffea arabica (coffee). RNAcentral describes it as "long non-coding RNA (CARA_LNC003090)". Lineage: Eukaryota; Viridiplantae; Streptophyta; Magnoliopsida; Gentianales; Rubiaceae. The record is from RNAcentral.
UUUUUUUUUUUUUUUUUUUUGUAGUGUAUGUCAUUUGGUUCUUGCAAUUCUAUGUCUUUCUAGAAUUCCGGUAAAAUAAACUGUGGAAUGGAAAUUUCAGUUUUAGCACUUAGAACCCCCAAUUAAAAUAUAAUGAACUUCAUAAAGAACGUUCAUUACUAUAAUUUUUGGUCUUCCUUUUCCUAUCCUUUUUUAAUGAAUUUUCACGGUCUAAAAACAGAUGUAGUAGGAGCUCUUCUCCAUUGUAAAGCUGAAUUUGCACAUCAAUAAAAUGACAGUUGGCUUGCGAAAAAAAAAAGAUUUCUAAAAGGUUAGUCACAGUUAAAAGUUUGGAUAGAAUAAGGGUGCGUUUGAUAAAAUUGAAAUUUGAAAACUGAAGUCUGAAAUCUGAAAUAUGAAAUUUGAAUACAUUAAGUUAUUGAAUUGUUAAGUAUUAAAUCUAAUAUAUUAGAGUGCAUAUCACACGAUCAGUAAAAAGUGAAUAACUUAUCACUUAAUUUUGAGAGCAAAUUUUGUCUAGAAAUUCAGUGCCACCUAAUUAAUUCAGAUGUUCAAUUUUUGGUUAUCAAACGGUUAUCAAGCCGGACCUAAAUGUUUAACACUUCCAUUACUUAUAAACCUUUUGUCUUAACUCAAAAAUUUGUCUUAAUAUUCGUGUAUUAUUCUUGCUUCUUUUUUUUUUUUGCAUUUCUUAAUCAAUUGUAUCAUAUGGUAUAAUGAACUCAAUCAUUAAUUAACUUAUUGUCUUUCCAAAUCAAAUAUUCAAAUAUGAUAUUUAACAGUGAACUCUGAUUAUCCUGAAUUAAAAAAGUUCACAACGUGAAACAUCAAUCAUCAAUUAUUAAUGGCCUGACGGGAUAAGAAACAACUGAGAGCAAAACAGUUCGUAUACUCCCACGUAAGUAUGUAAUAUAAUUUAUGCCGCGUCAUAAUCUAAAAUUCCACAUAGUUCGGAGUGGACAACGAACUUCUAACAGCUGGGAUGGAACCGCUUUUCCACUUUGGGGAGUCGACUAGUGCAUUUAUGACUAUGCUCAGGCGGUCAUAAGAUGGUAAAGUGGCCUCACUUUGGCCAUCGGAUAAGCUAUCUUUAUAUUUUUUUCAUCCAAAAAUAAGAAAAAGGAGAGUAGAUAGAUUUCUUGAGGAUUCUCCAAAAGCAGAAAAGGAGUACCUGUUCAAAUGGAGGAGAAGCAGCUGGAUUAUGUUCUGGUGCCUCUGGGGAUGUUCAUAUUCCUGGUUUAUCAUGUUUGGCUGCUUUACACCAUUAUAUACAAUCCCAGGAAAACUGUUGUGGGACUCAAUGCUGAAAGCCGUCGAAAUUGGGUUUUCUCCAUGAUGAAUGUUAGUUCCUCAACCCUCUAUCCCACUUUUUCUUUCAUCAGACAUGUUAUAUGCAUGUGAUGUUAAUUAUAUUAGCAAUUAUCAGGGAAAAGUAGUAAUAUAUCUUUUGGUGAUAGUUAGGAGUUUUCGCGUGUUUUUCCCUUGUCUGCUGUUUAUGAUCGUAAAUGGGGUGAUAGGGAUUAAAGUGGUUCGGCUGCUUUAUUCUAGUAGAAAUUAUGCAAACAGGCACAUAUGCUUAUUUUACACGCAUGCUUGUGUGCUUGAAAUUAUGCUGGAUGAUUGUAAUUCGUACUAAAAAUUCUUAUACUGAUGGGUCCUGUCAUCGAUGGGAUGUUAUUUCAAGAUUUGCACUGAUGCCCUCCACGUUUAGGUAUGAUCUUUUCGUCUAUUAUUGAUGUCAGCUUAUGUUUCUAAUUUCCUUUGAUUUCCCCUCUUCUGAAUUGUCCUCAUUAGUUAGUGUUCUACCUUUACUUUGAUCAUGUUGCCCAUGAUUUUUUUGAUCAUGUUGCCCAUGAUUUUUCCUUUCUUAGUGAGUUAAAUGGGAUGGAGGAUAAUUGAUUUGAGCAUAUAGAUCAAGGGCAGGUGAUGGGGAAGGGAAGGGAAGCGAUGAAAGCAAGUAUUUGAAAGUGGUGGUGGCCGCCAGGAGAAGCAAAUGCUCCUAUUGGUUCAUAAUGGAGUUGAAAAACAGAACAAAGAAAUUUACUCCUGUUGCUUUUUGUCAAAAAAUAGUCUUUGCUCCUAUAAAAUGAGCUUGGAUUAAACUAUUUUUAUCUUAUGUUAUUCAGGAAAAACAUUUGUUUCAAAUCUUUCGUUGAUACAUUGGUCGAUGCCUCAUUCAUUAACAUCUUUAACCCAAAUGCUGUCUUCUUAACCUUAUUGAAAAAUCAAUCGCAAGAAAGAUUGAUGAUUAUCAUCAAAGGGGUUGAUUACGGGCUAGAGUUUCUGCAUACUUUUAUUGGGUUCUUCAAAGUCAAAUUAUGAUGCAACAUAGCUGCUAAAUUGUCAACAAAAAGCAGUCAUAACCUACAUAAAAUUCAGCAGGCUGAACUCCUAUGGAACAUGUUUACGACUGUUUUGGAUCCCAAUUUAUAGGCUUGACAUAAUAUUCAUUUACAAGUAACUUCAGUAAAGUCUCGAUAGGUAGUUUUCAGAGAGCGUACUUGGGCAAUUUACCUCAUGUUAAGGUAUCAAUCUUAAAGCGGUAUAUAAUCCUUUUUUUGGUUGAAAUUUCACAUAAGAAGCACACCCCACUCUUUUUUUUUUUUAUACCCUUCCAUCCCUCCCCACAUCCUUCCUACCCCCAGGACAUCCCGCUCUUGCAAGUGCACCACCCACCCAGGAAAAAGUCCAUUAUAAGGAUAGCUUUUACCCUUAUAUUAGGUAGUCCAUUACUGAAAGAUUGUGUUCCACAUAUUUAUGACACAUUCCCCUCUUCAUUGUCUCUAAUCUUUAAUUCUGUUUCCCAGCUUGUCAAAAUGGAUAACAUGUGAUGAGAAUAGUAGGUCGUCUUUAGUUUGGCAUUAUUUAUCAGAAUUGAUUCAUGUAAAGUGUUUGCAGGAUCCACUUAAGAAUGGUGUUUUGGCAGUCCAAACUUUACGCAACAACAUAAUGGCAUCAACUCUAUUGGCAACAACAGCUAUUACUCUUAGCUCUCUGAUAAGUGUCUUUGUAAGCAAUGCCUCAAAUUCUUCGUCUUCAAAGUUAGUUUAUGGAAAUAAGACUUCAUUUUUGUCUUCUGUCAAAUUCUUUUCUAUCUUGCUUUGUUUUCUUGUUGCUUUUCUUUGCAAUGUGCAGUCUAUUAGAUACUAUGCACAUGUUAGCUUCUUAGCUACUGUGCCUACCUUCAAGGACCAAAACGACUGUAUUGAGUAUGUUGCAAGAAAUUUGAACAGAGGAAGCUUCUUCUGGUCACUUGGAUUAAGAGCAUUUUAUAUGUCAUUCCCUCUUUUCCUUUGGAUUUUUGGACCUAUUCCCAUGUUUGUCUGUUGCUGUAUGAUGAUAUUUCUUCUUUACUUCUUGGACACAACUACAAGCUUUACGAGAGAUCUCCACUGUAAGUCGAUCAAAGAGGAAGCAAUAGCCAAUGAUGUGGAAUCAAUUCAUCAUUCAUUGUAGUGGUUGAGAAGUAAAAGGCCCCUAGUUGGUCAUGAGGUUUUUGGAGCAUAGCCAAUCAAAAAAUGUCUUGUAUCUGUACUAGAACCUUUAGUUUCAGUGUAAUAUUUUCCACAGAGAACGACCAAGGUGCUAUGUAAAUAGUUCUUAUCAACUGAUCUCUUGGUCAACAAGAUGCUAUUCAAAUUCCGCAUGGUUUUCAUAUGCUUCAAUUGAACUUUGGCUAUUUAUAAAAUUGUUAUCAUCCUCAUGAGGAGAAUUAUUUUUGAGACUUUGAGUAUAGCAGGCACGUAUUUUCAGAGUGAGCUUGGUGACUUCCAUGGAAUACACUCAUUUUUCAUUCACCAUGCAUUAUAGACAAAUGCACAUAUAUUUUCCAGUUAGUAUCAUGCAUAAAAUUAGGCUCCAAAAGAUGGCUUAUUCUUGUUUUCCUUGGUUGAGAAUGCUCCUAAUUGAUGAUGUGCUGACUGUUUUUUUUUUUUUUAAUAUUGUGAGAUUUUCUUCCUUUUUCCUUGGGUAUUAACUCUAGGACGUGGAAAGUGAGGAGGAUCCUGCUGUUUUUUUUGGUUGUCAUCCUAUAAUAUAUUUAGGUGCUUGAAAAUGCAGCAUAUCCUCUGAAACUAGACAUUCUACCGGGAACUGAAUUGGUUUUGGAUAACAAUGUCUUGGGUUAAGAGUCAAGACUAUGAAACAUGGUAUCAGGAGGAAAGUUUAGUAGCAUCUUUGCUAAUUCAUGUUCUGUAUUCACUGGAGAGAGUUUCUUUUCCUUAUAGAACCAGAAGGAAAGUUUCCUGACUGACUGUGGGUGAUUUAUUCUGUCCGGUGCUAUAGUACAAUAGAAACACCAUAUGCUUCUUGCUUUCUGAUGCUUGAAGCUCUAUAUCAACCGAUAGUUUUUCCUUCACUGACAGCAGCAUAGAACCAUAGGUGAGGGUGAACAUUUUAUCGACUGGCUUGAACCCACCCUGGGAGUAAUGAAAUCCUUAUGAUCUGACGCAUGAAAUUAAUUCUUUCUGUUGUAUUGUGAACGUUUACAGAUGUAAAGACAACCUUAAGGUGUAUAUUGAUAUUGAAACGGACUGAUAAUGCCUUUUUCUUCUCUUUGUAAACUUUUUGCCCCAAAUUUCUCGAUUACUUGCUUCAUAUUUUUCGUUUGUACGUUACUCCAGUUACUUAAUUUGUAUUACCUGGUUGAAAGCGGGCGUGGCAUGAAAUGUAGAGGCCUUCUACGUUGGAUGUUGGGUUUUGAACCCUUGUUCCAAUGUACAAUAAUCUUCCGAGGGUGUGUAUUUGGCUUGAACGGGACAGAAGGGGUUGGAAACCUCUCUGACCAUAAUUGCUGGUACAGCAUGUCUGCAGAUUGUCCAUGUUUACAGGGGUUAACCAUGUGUGCCAAAUUGACUGGAACAGGACAUUUGAGCCCCUGAAAUGACAUCCGUACAGUAUGCUUUUGUUUGUGUCUUUUGCUAUUUGUCGCUGUUUCUGUGUUUUUUGAGCUCAAAUUCAGACCAAGUAGGAUGUGGUUCUUUGAUAACAGAAGAAAGACAAUUAGUCGCGUUACGUCACAAUAUUUGAACGCAUACCGAAAUAUCCCAUGCUUUACCAACUGUGUUUCUGCCUUGUAUUUAUGGGCAUGUUGGAUAUGUGGAGGCCUACAAAGGGUCUUGUUUCUUUGGUGAAAGCGAUGGAAACAAUAAAUUUCUUGAUUUUUGGUGCAAGAGAAGCCAAUAAUUAAUGCCCCACUUGAUUUUGACAAAUGAUCUGCCCCAUCUAAAUACGCAGAGACCAAAAAGAAAUGGACCACUUUUGCAUUUGUUGCUGCUAUUCAUCUUUGGCCUACAUUUGCCGUACCAGAUGAUCUGUCUAGCAUUCCAUCUUUGUGGUAAAAUAGAGUACACCAUGGUUCGAUAUUUUAAAGCAAAUUCAGAAAACCAUUUAUGGUGCCAUGUACCAAUGUCGCUAACAAAUUGCUAAACUGAUGCUGGUGGUGCUGCCGAUGUUGAUAGCUGACAGUGCCAUAAUGCAUGCAGUGCACUACAUUGAUCCAUCAAACCAACCCCCUUACAAUCUUUGAGUAAGUUGAUAGAACUGUUACUGUACCUUUACACUCUGUCUUGAUGAUGAUCUUGUUUUCUAUAUUUGUCGUUACCAGAGUAACUACCAGAUCUGUCUUCCAACUCCAUUGUGGAACUGGAACAUGUUGUGUUUUCUCAUUUCUCCUGUUUAUGUCCUUGUUGAUCAUUGAUGGCAUCAGCUGUCAAAGUGUCAACACCCAUAAUUAUUACUUGCUCUUUGUCAGAAUAUGAUCCUCUCCUUUGGUGCUUAUCUCCUACCUACACCUUUUGUCCUUGAGAUAGAAUGUUGGUACCGCUGCCAAUGCACUGAUUUUUCCUAGCAACCCAAAACUUACAUUUUAGUAAUAAAAUCCCACACCUGUGAAUAGAAAGGCAUGAAGAAAUAGGAUGUCCUCACCUGGAUAUGGAAAAUGUUUGCCGUGCAAAAUUUAGCAGCUUCUUCAACAACUUGGCUGCACCGUUGGAACGAGUUUUCUUUCUAGGAUCAUCCACAAGGCACUGUGUGUUUAUAAAUGCUUGCCUUCAGGUUGACUUUGGUUGAUGAGUGAUUGAACUACCUGACAUUGGUAGGACCUUGGUUAUUAUUGUUUGAUAUUGAGCUUCCUCCCUAGUUUUUCUUGGCUUCUACCGACUGGAAAGCCAGUCCAGCACCAGUCACUGGGUGUUUAUAAAAUACCUUGAUUGGAUGUAUGGGACCUGGUUUCAUUUGCCCAAGACAAAAGCAACAGAUUCUUGCAAAAUUAGUGUUCGGUCUUCGAUUGUUUUCAAGGCAUCCUGCAUAACUUUUUUGACAUAUAUUUUAGCUUGUGUUUAACUGGAAAACGCCACUGAUUUUGGUUUAAGGACCCUUUAAACCGUGUAAGACAGUUUUGGAGAAAUCAGAUUAAACCCACUUUUUAAGAGGCAUGGUGCAAGAAAAGUCCCUACAUGUAUUGAUGAACUAGCAUCAUUUUGUAUAACCUGUUCUCCUACCUGUCCUAGAAAUCUUGGCAGGGUGGUCUAAAAUCAAAUAGGGUUUUUCAUAAAUAUCAUAGAGGACAAAAACUAAUGGAAAAUACUCAGAGAUUGAGAUCAAAAUCUCCAUAUCUACCUAUAAAAUUGUAAUUUUACCUCUCACACUUCAAUAAAGUUGCCCCCACUAUACCACUAAACAAAAUCUAAGUAUUAGAGAAUUACCCUUUGCCUCCAUUGAUCCCAUCAAAAUCUCCAUACCUACAUAUAAAAUUGUAGUUUUGCGCCCAGUACUAUUCAACAAAACCUAAGCAUUAAAGAAUUACCCCAACCAAAAUCUGCAUAUAUGCGUAUAAAAUUAUAGGUUUGCCUCCAUACCUGAAUGAAAUCACCCUCACCCUCACCUAAAGUAGUAAUACACACUUUGUUUAUAUGUCUUUAUGUCCAAAUAAUUUGACAACACUUAAAAUAAAUUAUACCACCACCUUGUUUAAACAAAGAAAUAGAUUCCAUUUGCAUUUAUUCUUCUUCUUUAUCUAUUCUAAUGCGCUCCCGGUGCAAACCCAUUUAAAAAAAAACUUUUUCACUACACAUUAGAACUGACAAUUGCUCAUUUUUUAUUUCAUCUAAACAAAAAAUCCAGAUUAAAUUUAUUAGGGUUGUGAGAGGAGAAGUGGAAGAAUUCUUUAUUAGAAAUUUGAUAUUUGCUUUAUUACUAAAUUGGCGUAUAUUAUUAUAAUUAGUAGAUUGUUAGUUAAACAUAUUUUUUCAUAUCAUAAUUAGUAAAAUUUCAUAUAUUAACUUUGCCCCCACCGAAUUUCUUCUCUAGCUUCGCCCCCGAAAACACCCUAUCUUAACUAAAUUAAAAUCAUAUAUGGUCUCAAUGGAACAAGAACAAGCAAGAGAACCCUAGAAGUGUCAGUUGAUCUGUCAAUUUCAUUUUACAAUGCGGUGGGCCUAGUAUUGAAAGUUCUGGAGUAAUAUAGAGCCUCCAUGAUUUAGUUGUCUGCUUAUCCACUAUUCUUUGAGCAGUGAUCUUCAAGUGCUAAAGUUUGAAUUUAUCUAGCCAAAAAAAAAAAAAAAAUUGUAUUCUUUGUUGAAGAAAAUAGUGGAAAUUAUGCUUAGAAAUGUUCUUGGGAAAGAACGAUCAUUUGGGUAAAAUCUAACAGUAGACUAGUAUUUUUCACAACUGUUAUUAAAUCUAAACUUGUGCUAACGAAAUUCAAAAAGUUGAUGGGAAGAUCUUGCUUUGGUUAACCAGCUAAUGAUUGGUACCGACAGUCUGUGGUCAAUUUGCACGGGGAGAUAAGAUGAUUUAUUAUCUUAUCCAUAAAGCUAUAGGAAACCAAUUAAAGAAGAAAAGGACAAAAACCGACUACCUCCCCAAGACGUUGCUUCCAAAAGUAAAACAGCAUUUUGGUUUGUGUUUCUCAAGUAUGAAUUUUUUUUUAUUUUUUUUUUUCAAGAAUGGACAAAAGUGAAAAAAAACUCAUCUAAUGUGAGAUUGGUGGGAUUUAUCAGCCCUUGUCCCAUGGUAUAUCUUGGACUAAUUUCAAUUUGUGCUUCCAAACUUAUACUCUUAUAUUUCAAUUUUAGACACUUUACAUUCUAAACUCUCGUAUUUAUAUCUUUUUAAGUCCAAUUGAUAAUGACUUUAGCAACAUCGAAGGAACGAAGGGCCGUACAAAUGAUUCACCUUUUUGCAUGACUAAUAGGGAUUGUGAGAUGAUGAUAUUACACUGCUAUCCAGUAAAGUGGUUUAGGUUCAUGUCGUGUGCAAGUCCUCUAUUCUGUUAGUUUGCUAUGACUAACGUCGAUCAAUAGGAUUUAAGUGAGACAAAUAUGAGAAGUUAGAGUACAAAGUGCCCUUAAAAUUGUAAGUCUAGGGAUGCAAAAUGAGAAAGAAGUACAAGUCCAAGAGUACGAAGUGGAAAUAAUCCUUAAAUUUUUAGUAUGGGAUUGAAGUUUUACUUCAUAUAUAGGAGAAGGUGGAAUGAUUUAUCGCCUUAUUAAGAAACCAUCUUAUUAAGAAUUCUUCAAUAAAUAUUAUACAACGUCUUUUGAGAUUACGAAUGUAACGAACUAAAUCGUUUGGAAUAGAAGCAUAUUCCUUAUUUUGAAACCCUUUUACCAAACACCUCCUUUAGUCUCCGCAUAGUCAGAUCUCAUCUGACUCGUGUAUGAUGUUUUUAACAAAAAGUUUUCUUUUCGUCUGGGUUUUUUUUCUUUUUUAGGGGUUUUCUAGAUUCACAUUUCAUGUACUAAUGUACAACUUGAAAUCUCAACAUCCUAAGGUAUGUAUGUCGUGUGCAUCUAGUUUUAAGUAAAGGGCUGACAGAAAUUGUUGAAGGACUUGCCCCUUUUGUGCAAUCAGUGAAGAAAUCAAAAUGUCACAAAGAAGUGCGGAAUUAGGUUUCUCUUAGGAUUUGUUUAUUUAUUGAUUUGUUGCUAUGAUGUGAUAUGCUAUGACAAACAGAUAAGAGUGGAUUUAGUUUGUUUUCUCCUUUCACUGUUUCUACAGAAAAGUGAAGAUUUGGCAUAUCUUUUCUCUUCUAGACUUCUAAAAAUCCUUCCUACUUGUAAAGAUAACAGCCACCAUGCAAUUUUCCGAGAACCAUCCAUCCGUUUCAAAUCUAAACUAGACUUUUGUAGAAGAUCAUUUCCUACCAUACAAAAAUGUGGAAAUUUUUUUUUUUUUUUUUUAAAACUUAGUCUCAUAAUAUGUAGUCAAUUGGUCAUAUACGAUAAGAAAGGGGUACAUUCGAGUUCCAUCUGGAGCUUGGAAUUGUUCAGCCAGUCUCCCCUGUCAAGGACCAAGAGGGAAUUAGAUGGUCAAUCAUGAUAAAAAUGAAUCAGGAUCAUCUCAUCUCAUCCGAUCCAAGUGGUAGGGUCCGACGUUGAAUACCAAUUCCACGAGCAUGUCCCCCAAUUUGGCCGCAUCCAAGGAGAAAAAUCUUGAGGCACAUUCUGCUUUGGUGGCUACUUGCUACAACUUUAACUUAAAGGUCUGCAUUGCUAUACACUUAUUUGCCUAGAAAGGAACAUUUUCCCUGGCUCUCACGAAAUAUUUUAUGGUCUAUACUCAAUUCUGAUAAUGGAUAUUCCUAAACAAAUGUCCAUUCUCAGAAGGCUAAUGAGAACAGAAGAAAAGAGAUAGAGGUCGAGAUAUCCUUCCAAAAAAUAUCAACUGAAAAAGGGGCUCUAAUUUAGAAGAGAGAGAGAGAGAGAGAGAGAGAUUGUGCUGAGCGACCAAAAUUGCAAAAACCAAUUUGUCUGUAUGUGUAUGAUAAUAUUCUUGCUGAUUAGAUUUAGUCCGCAGGAAAAUCAUUCGAAUAAGGAUGUUUAAAAUAUCGGUCUGUCUAACGAAUAUCCUGUAAGCACUCGUUAACAUGUAUUUCAGGUGUUAGAUUUUUAAAAAUAUAAGAUUAAUUAGAAAAAAUAUAUAAAUAUAAGGAAAUUAAUUAGAAAAAUUAUAUAAAUAUAAGAGAAAGUAAUAAUCAUUAGUGUGUGUGUGUAUGUACACAAUAAAUUGGGUAGAAUAUAGGUAUGUUAACGAGUGCCACAUAACAUCUGUUAAAAAAAACCCUUAAAAUAACAUGGCUAAGUCUACCUCUGUCAAACAGAUAUUGACUUAUCUGAGUAUUUAUAGUAAUUCUCACGUUAUACUUGAAAUGGCUAAAGUUGAACUUUGUUUUCAAAAUAAUAAAACCACCUUGUGAGUAUUUAUCUUAGGAUUAAUCUUGCAUGCACAAUUUGGGCAUCUGGAAAUUUUCUUUUGAUCUUUAUAUUUUAUGAUCACGUUUCUGUUUUCUUUUUUUUUUAUCAGUUAUUUUGGGGUUUCUUUUUAGAUGGUUUCUUUUUGGGAUUAAGGAUGUAUACUUUGUUGUUUUGCAUUUUUAUUUCUGACUUUGAGACAGAAGAUGGAGUCUUCUGCUCACUUAUAGGCUUCAAUUGUAACUGGCUCGGAGUUUACAUGUUAUGGAAUGUGAUGUAAUAUUCUUCAAGAAUGAGAAAACAUCCAACAAAUUUCAGUAAGGCACGAAGAUGACAGCUAAAAUGUCUUCUUCAGCUCCUCAAUCUUUGAUUAAGAAAAAAUUAGAUGAGUUGUACAAAAUGCAAGCAUAUGAAUGUCAAGAUUAAUCUAAAAAAUAGGGAAAGAAUGAAAAUAAAAAAAUAAAAAGAUAGGUAGAAAAAAAAGGGCAUAUUGGAAAGUGUUAUUAUCACUUUAUCCCCUUAACAUUCGGUGCCACUAUCAAUUUCCCCCUUAACGUUAUCUUUUAGUUACUUUACCCCCAAGACUAACGGUCAAAUUUAAUGGAGUUUGUUAAUUAAAGUAAAAGGACAAGUUUAACCUUUAAAGUUAUUAUCAUUUUACCUCCCCUAAACUAUAGUCUCAUUAUCAAUUUAUCCCAUAAAGUUAUUUUUUAGACAAUUUAUCUAACAAUUAAACCAACUUAGCAAGUUAAAAAACUUUAGAAAAAAAUACCCUCAUUUUUGUAUAAUAAAAAUAAUAAAAAAUUUAGAGUGGUUCUUCUCCUCUUUAGUAUAAAAAAAGUCAAAAUAUUAAUUUAUUUCUUUUUGGAAAAUUAAUAUUAAAAAAAUAGAAAGAUAGGGAGAGGGGGAAAGAGAGAUAGAUAGAGAGAGCUCAAUUCUUUUUUUAGAAAAUACAAAUAAGAAAGAAUUAAAUACUUUUAUUAUUUUAAAAUUAUUUCACUUUACUGUUUACCACGAGAUUUCAAUCCAAAUCCCAACAACCUUAAAUUAAUAUGAUAAUGUUAGACUUUUUUUUAUCUUUUUCUUUGCAAAAUCUAAUUUUCUGUCUCUUUUUUUCCUAUCUCUUUUUCUUUUCCUAAUAUUAAUAAGUGUGAAAAAGAAAUUUGAGAAAACCCUUUUAUUUUUAUAUUUAUGGAUCUCUUAAAGUGAAAAAAAGAAGAAUAAUCAUUCUAAAUUUUUUAUUUUUAAUUAUAUAUAUAAGGGUAAAUAUAUUUAACAAUUUUUGACCAUACUAGUUAGAUUAACGAUGAAAUAAAAUUCCAAGAAAAUAAAGUUAGGAAUUAAAUCGAUUAUAUCACUAUAAUUUAAAGGAAUAAAGUAAUAAUAACAAUGUAGUAAUACUAUAGAAUAAAAGGGUAUUUUUGUCUGAAAUUUCUUAACAUGUUGAAUUAAAUUACUUAUGGGGGUGAAGUAACUAAAAAAUAACGUUAUGGGGUAAACUGAUAGUUGUGAUACAGUUUAAGGAGGUAAAGUGAUAAUAACCCUAUUAGAAAUCCAAAACAAAAAAGGAAAAGAAAAAGAAGACGUGGAAAGACAUUUACUAACUGACAAGCGUCAGGCAGGUGUUAGUAAGUAAAAUGAUACCUGUCGUUUCCCAGAGGGCUCACAUUGCUGGUCCGUCUCCGCCAUUUCCAAAUCUAGCAAGCAUUGACCCCACCUUCCUCCAAUCAUUAGAAUCUUUACCUUCUUGGCAAAAUUCGCCCUCUUACAACUCAGAAAGGAUCAUUCUAUUUUCUAAAUUUUACAACUUCUUCUGCUACUUCAUUUGAGUUAUUUUACCAUUUCUAUUUUCACCACCUAGAGAAUACUGCAAGUUAUCCACCCACUCAUUAUCCCUAGACCCUAGUUCCAAUUCAUGCAAGUACUAGCAAUCCCUUCGUUAGAGAUGAAGUCACCAAAACGACUUGGAAGUGCAAUGUCCCAAUGUGACUAAUUAGUACUAAUAACUACCAUUAGAGAAUGAGACCUAAUUAAGCUUAGUGCAAAAAUGUGUAAGGUAGAUGGGGGAAAGAGUACAGUACUUUCGGCACGUAUCUUGUUCUGAUUUACUUUCUUUUCGAAUGAAUAAUGUCUGUUUUUUUUUUCUCAAAUGAAAUUUGGUUCAAAUUUUAGAUUGUUUAUUUGUCAAAUCAAGUUUGAACUAAUAUUUUAUUGAACUUGAAUGUUAAGGAAUAUAAAGCGUUGUUCAAAUUUGACUUGACUAAUCAGCGAAUCAAUUUCGAACGAGUUCUUAUUACAAUGAGUGUGACUUGACUAAUCAGCGAAUCAAGUUCGAACGAACUCUUAUUACAGUGAGUUUAAUUCGAACGAGUAUCGAAUAAUUUGGUUCAUGUUUUCGUCCAAAUAGCAAAAUGACAUCCUCCCUUUCCACCGAGGGCUCACAUGGCUGGUCCAGCAUUUCCAAAUCUAGCAAGCAUCGACCCCACCUUCCUCCAAUGAUUAGAAUCUUUACCUUCCGGGCAAAAUCCGCCUAUUUCAACUCAGAAAGAGAAAGCAUCAUUCUAGUUCUAAAUUUUACUACUACUACUACUGCUUCAUUGAGACAUUUUACCAUUUCUAUUUUCGCCCUGGAGAUUAUAAUUUAUCCACCCCCCUUAUUGGCCCUAGACCCUUGUUCCAAUUCAGGCAAGUACUAGCAAUCCCUAAGUUAAAGAUAAAGCCACCAAAACAACUUGGAAAUGCAAUGUCCCAAUGUGAUGGGUACCAAUCGGGGGCGGAGCUACACUCUCUUAAGAGGUUGCAAUUGCACCCCCUCAAAUUUUUGAAAAUUAUAAAAUGGCCUAUAAAAAAUUUUAGCUUUUUAGUGUUGCUUCACUUUUGCCCCUCUUGAAUUUUUAAAAUAUUCCAUCUAGCCCUAUAAUUGCCCCUCAAAAGUGUUGAAAUUUUCUAUAGUUGCUCUAAUUAUUCUUAAAAUCAAAGCUUCAAAUAAAAUACCAUGAUAUUUUUGUUCCUUUCUAAUAAAUCUUUUUUACUUAAAAUUGAGCUUCACUUAUAUGCCCAACCAUACAAGUUGAAUUACAUGCAAAUUUGAUAUUUAUUUAAUAUUUUAAUUGUGAAGAUUAUCUGCCUAUCCUAUCUAUUUUAGAAUGUACACCUUAUAAUUUUGUUCGUAAUAUUAACUAUGAUUUUAUACCAUUAGAUGACUAGAAAACUCCUGCACAUAGUAAAUAAUAAGCUAUAUAGACAAUGCUUUUUAAUUUUGUUGUUGUAAUACUGAAUAAAUUGGUUCAUGCCGAUUAAAUUUUUAAUAAACACUAAGUUGUACCAAAAGCUUACAAAUCACUUCAACCUAAAAUUAUUUCACCCUCUCAAUAAUGGUCCUAACUCUGCCAUUGUACCAAUAACCAAUAUUAGAGAAUGAGACCUAAUUAAGCUUCGUGCAAAAAUAUAAGGCAGACAAGAGAAAGAGUAUAGUAAUUUAGGCACGUAACUUAAUUUGAUUUCAAAUGAAUAAUAUCUUUUUCCUUUAAACAUAAGUAGGAGGUAUCAAACUUGGGAUCUUUCACUCACACCUUCUCACCCUAAAUCACCCAACUCAACCCUCUCCUCGCAAACUGAAUAAUGGCUUAAAUGUAGAGCAAGCCAGCAAGGUCUGUACAUACAUUUUUUCAGGUUCCAAACGAGAAUUGCAAUUCCUCAUACCAUAAGAGUUGAUAAUAGUAUCUUAAACUCUAGAUGCUAGUAAACAAUCUCAAAAAUAGAAUUAUCAAAGACGAAGGCAUAACAAAUACUAAAAAAGGUUUUUUGAUAAACGACAAAAUUUCAUUACAAUAAAUCUAUAUUAAUAUCAAAGAACAAUUAAACAUGCAACAAGUAUAAAUAGAUUUGUAAUCUACAACAAAUCUGAAAAAUCAACAGGGAUACACUAUAGAACUCCAAGAUAUCUUUCAAGAUCAAAUGAUUCACUGGAGCCCUAACAAUAAAAGCUUAUUAAUUUUAUGUGAUUGCCAAGUUACACUUGAUCACAUGCACAUCUAAUCUUUGCCUCCUACUUUAAAGCUUCUAUUGUCAUCAGAUGAUAACACAUAUCCUUGGUCCAACUAAGGGCAUCACUGAAGCUUUUUGUGAUUUUUGUAAGAUGAUUUUUAGAAGAAAUAUGAUUUAUAAGUAUUGGCUCUAUGCCAUAAUAUGCUUUUUUGACAGCUUUUAUACCAAAAAAAAGGAAAAAAAAAAAAAGAAGUUACUGCUAAAAAAAAUGCUUACUGGAUUUUAGGAGCUAAGCCUGAUAUAGGAGUUGUUUGCAAAGCGUAAAAAAGAAAAAAAAAAGGAAAAAGAGUUAACUUCCAUAUAUGAAGCAGGAACAUCUAGGGCACUUUAUGAAGGAAAAUUUUUUUUUUUUAAAAAAACACAGUGUGCAGAAUUAUAUUCCACAUAGGUCCACUUCCUAAACAAGGGAUUCUUUUUUUUUGGAAGGUUUUUAAUCUGAAAUCCCGGAUCAACCUUUUUUUUUCUCUUUUGUUGUGUUCUAAUCCUAAAAAUGGAAAGAAAGGUAAGUAGUUCAUUUGCAAUCAUAUGCAGAAAGUAGUACUUAAGUCACAUUAGUUCCUAUCUGGAAUGACUUCAUAACAUCUAGAUGAUUUCAAGGAACGUAAUUACAUUUAAGUUCAAGAAGGAAAAUAAUUUUUGCUAUAUCAAAGAACUUAAUUGUAUAAUGCACCCUGUAUCUCAUGUAAACAUUCUUCAAAAAAGGUUCCCUUCAUGAUUCCUCUCAUGUUUACAUCAUAGUUACCAUACAUCUCUGGUAUUCAUUGCUAACAACAACAAAACAUCUCGGAUUCGCCUAUUUUAAAGAUAUAUAUAUAUAUAUAUAUAUUUCAAUUGGGGGUGUCCCAGACUUUAUUUGGCCAGACUAAUUCCCUAAGGCUAGUACAGCCCCGCCCAAGGAUGCCUAUGUUAAAGAUAUUUGAUAUUGAGAAUUUGACAUUGCUAACAUAUCCUAUUUUGUGAUUUUCUGAUUCUGCUCUUAAUUACAUGCCCGGAGAAGAUUUUCAUAAACUAUUGCACUAUAAAAUCACAUUUCUAACUAGCUUAACAUUGAAAUCACAAGCCAAACUUCAAGACAGAAUUACAAGAUGUUGCCUAUUCAUACAUACUAAUUACUAAGUCCCCAGUUUGCUGGCUAAAAUCACAUGCUAAUUGAAUAUGAUCGUGAAUACAUCUAUCUUUACAUGUGUUAUCUGAACGACCAUUAAGCUCUCAAAUCCAAUGAAUCAUACUAGCUAAGAAUAAAUCCAUAAAUCGUGGUUUUUCAAUAUCUAGUCUAGUUAAAGCUCAAGGACUUUCUCAUUGUUAUGAAAUAGAUAAUCAUAGUUGAUUUUCUGAUUCAGAAGGAACUAAGAUCGUGACACCUAUGACUACCAUAAAACAUCCUUGCCUAAAUUUUCCAGCCCCAUUAACUAAUAUAAGCAUUACAUUUCUUUUGUAAUUUUUAAAGAUGAAUUGUAUGCAUUAUAUAUAGUCUUCCUUCCAUUUGGCAACAAUUAAGCUUUAAGAGUAACAUGGCCCCAAUUAUGCUAUCAUUUCUUAGAAAUAGAGUGAUUUCAAAAUAUAUUCCUAGUUGGCCCUCCAAUAUUACGGACCACAUGUGGCAAGUGGUACUGACUUUUGUCAGAAUCACUUCAGUUAAGAUAUCUACCAUGUCAUCAAUGGGUUUGAACCAAAACAGCAGAGAAAAAGCUCCUCAGAUACAAAAAAAAAACAAUGAACGAGAAAUUAAUUCCUUCAAAUGGAAAUGACCUUAAUAGUGGAGACAAACUCUCUUCCUAUCCAUAUCCAGCUUCCAGCCUGUUGAAUUCGCAGCUGGUUUCUACUUGUCCUUGCCAAAAAAAUGCUCCUGUAAUUGGUAGCCAAUUUGGACAAAUAUGUCUUAAGUGAAUGAAGAAAUUAUCAAGAUGAAAAUAGAAUAUGUUGAUAUAUAGCCCAUAUCAAGAACUUCGUUAUGUUAAAAUUUACUGCUCUCUCGGUCAGGAAGUGAGGGGGAAGAAAAUACUAACUCACAAAGGAAAUAUAUCAACUAUGGCCACAAGAGAUGUGCUCAUCAGAAAUUAUAACCUGCUUCUUGAUUACAAAUAUUCCGGGCAUGUUACCGCUCCAGCUCGGUCAAAUUUCUCCAAAAAACCCAUAUGAUUUUGGUAACUAGUAAUGCAAAAUCAUAAAGAUGAAUCAAAUAAGCAUGAGAAUACGUGUUGGCAAAGAGGCAAAGCCACACUAAGCGAGGAUUUUAAAGGGAUUUCUUGAUUAGCCAUAGAGAAACCAAUCAGAAAUUGCUAAGUCAACAUUAAAAUAAAAUUAAGUCCAUUUGUUCCCCAAGGAAGGGAUAAAAGAAAAAUCAAAUUCCCCAAUGAAAUCAUGACAACACAGCAGAGGAAAUGUAUCCAUUGAUCUAGCACUUUCCAAGAUAUGGGAAUACAAGGAAGCCCAGAUUCAUUUACCUCCAGAUCUUGUUCAGAUAUCAUGACUCAAAAACAGCAUAAGAUAACAACACAGAGGCACAAACUGUGACAUUAGACUGCCGUAGCAUGCAAUAAUCCAAUCAAUGAAUCCCUUUUAUCCCUCAUCCCAACUCGAAAAGGAAAACCAAGAAAGCAAAACACAAAAUUGUAAAGUAUAUGAAGAAAAGAUAGAAAUUCUCAAGUCUAUGACCAUGUGGGGGGAAAUUCAACUAAAAAAUCUGGGCAAGAAUAUAAUUGUCUACUAGUAGUCUACUGCUAACUAGCAAGAUAUACAUACCUGAAGCUAGAUAGCUAGUUGAGAAGGAUAGAAUGAUGAAAAGCGGUAGAGGAAAAAACUAAAAAAAUGGGGAGAGUGAGCGGCUGAAAAUGAUGACAGAAGCAUAGAGAGCACAAAGGAGUGAGAUGCAGCAAGACUCCAUGCAUUUCAUCAUCUGUGCUCUCUAUCUUCUGUCAACAAAAUCACCUUUACCUUCUUCUCCCAUCCUUAUAAAUAUAUAUAUAUAUAUAUUUUCCUUUUUAAAUUCCUUUAAUAACUCUUUGCACCAACAGCAGAAAAAAAAAGUUGCAGCUGCUAGCAGCAGCAACAGCAGAAGUUGCAGUAGGAAAAGAAAGGAAGGAAGUAGUUGCAGUAGCAGUACCGUUUGUUCUAGAGGGGACUAGUAAUGAGAAAGAGCCGGAUGAACAGAGAUUGAGAGAGAAAGAAAGGGAAAGAGAAAGGAAGAGUUUGUUUGGUUUGGAGUGACCUAGCCAGGCUAUAUCAGGGGCCUCUUUGCGCCUCUAUAAAUAGGAAAGAAAGUAAAAGGAGGGGCAGAAUACCCCUGGUAUUAAGGGUACCACAGUACCUGUCUCAUAUGUACUACCACUUAUCUUUCUUCUUGUAACCGUUCUUUCUUUCACGAGGUGAAUGAAGGAAAGGACAUUAGUACACUUCCCACAGUUAACUUCUUUUACUCUAACAACCCUAGAUUAUCCUUCUUAGUCCUUUCUUUCUUAUUCACCUUGCAUGCUUUGCGCAUCCAAAUUUACUAUUUUGGAAUUAGAAAUUACAGAUUGUUACCAUCCAAUCAUCAUCAGAUGAUUGUGCUCUUUGAUUAUGAUAUUUUUACUGUACAAUGUACGAACUAGGAAUUAUCUGUCAAACUAACAGACUUUUACCUUUUCAACCUGAUCAAUAGUACUCUUCUUAUCCCAAAUUAAAAAACAAUAUAUACAAAUCAAUGGCUCCCUUUGGUCAAAUAAGUUUAUAGCCAAAAAAGAUUUUUUUUCUAUUAUUCUCUAAAUAAGUUUUGAAUCAUUGUUUUGUCUUACAUACAUACGUCACGUCACACAAAAGUAUUAUAAUAAAUGAUUAAAUUUUUUUAAAAAUAAUCUUCAGCCCCAUCUUUUAUUUUGAUGUGGAGGUUAUUUGCACCUGACCAAAAAAGAAUUUUUUUCUAUUAUUCUCUAAAUAAGUUUUGAAUCAUUAUUUUGUCUUACAUACGUCACGUCACAAAAGUAUUAUAAUAAAUGAUUAAAUUUUUUAAAAAUAAUCUUCAGCCCAAUCUUUUAUUUUGAUGUGGAGGUUAUUUGCACCUGACUAAUUAGGCUCUGUUCUCCUUACAAAAAUGCAUUCCAAUUUUACAUAAAGGUUGCAUGCUCGGUAUAUGAUUUUUCUAUGUAUUCAUGCGCCAAGAAUUGGCCUAUUCAUAGGGUUUGUUUGUAUACGUCAUUAUUUGGGAAAAGAAUUUAUUAGAUCAUAAAUAUUUUUUUAAUCAUUUUUUAACUUUAAACCUAAAAUUUUUCAAAUAAUUUUCUAUCUAAAAUGCAGAGUUAACCCUUUUGAAUAUCGAUAACAUGUUUCUUGUCAUCAAAUAAAACGAAAAAGACUUACCAUUCAGCACUCGUCAUGUAAGUGGUAAAUUAUACUCCAUCUUUGUGGGUGGUUGCGGCUAGUUUCUGAUUCUCAUCAUCCAAAAGUUGAAUAACUUUGAAGUCACAAGGAAAUAUAGCUUCAGAUGGACGUUGAACAAUUCAUUAGUACAUUGCAUAGCCCGCUGUCCAAAUCCACAAAUCCUGCAGCAGCUUUAGUUGAUAUGUACUAGACGGUAGGAUUUCUUGCAAUCUUUCAUGACUUUGUCUUUAGAAUUCACAGCGAGUAGUCACUCACAUUUGGUGUUGGUUAAAGCAUGAAAUUCAUGCCAUAUCCAAGUAUACAGUAAGUUGUUAUGCAGAAAUCCUUCACAUGAGUCAUAAUCAAAUUAUAAUUUAUUUUAGGCAGAGAGUAAUACAUGAUUUUUCAGUCAUCCUCUGUGUAUGUUUUAGAUGAGAUUGGUGAUUCUUAACUAGUAUUUUGAAAGGCGUAUUUGGGAUUAGCCCUGGGGCAAGGCGCUCCCGAAUUGCCCCUGAGCGGUCAAAUGGGACAUUAGUGUCAUGGGGCGGGCGAGUUUUUUCUUUAAGGCGUAAAAAAACAUAUGCAUUUAAAAUACAAACACUUUUUUCCCUUUUUUUAAGCUCCAGAAGAACAUCCAACCUAGAUUUUCUCGUCCUUUGCUUAACGAAGUUGAGACCCUCAAUCUGAACUUGCAAUUUUUUGAAAACCUUUCUUAUGUAAGCCUACAAGUUUAAGUUGGCGAACACAAAUGUUAGUUUAGAAUUUAAUGAUGCAAAGGAGGUGAAAUUUUAGACUUUAUGCCUCACAUUGAGGAUACUCUAAAGAAAUAGGAGAAAGACAUUCGCUUUGAUAAUCAAAACUCACAAAUAUUAUUUACUAGUGCUCUGAAAAAAAGUUUUAGCAACUGUGAUCAUUAGUUUGCUGGAUGAUAUCAAACCUUUUAUGCAAUUAAUCAUCAAAAUUUACAAUAGUUUGUUGGGUUUCUACUCAUGGCAUGGCAUUGGUCAUAUAAGCAUGUUUUAUUUUAGUCACACAAACAAGUUUUACUUUUCUUAUGAAGGCAUAAGGUUACAAUUUUUCUUUAUUUUAUCUAAUCCUUUUUUUUGGUAUUUUUAAUAUUAUAACACACACGUGCAUGCAUAUAUAUAUAUAUAUAUAUAUAUAAUAUUUUUGUAUUUUUAUAUUUUUAAAAUAUUUAAAAUAUAAAUAAAAUUUAUGGGACUUACGCUCCAUGCCUUAAGGCUUUUGCCUCGUCUGGGUAGAUACGAAACGCGGUGCCCAAUGCCUUCACUUUUUAAAACACUGUUCUUUAACUUAAGGAAAAGAUCUAAUUGUUGUUCUUUCAUUAGCACCAAUUUUUUACCUUCUUUUCUAUAGUAUACCACCAAAGCAUCCUUUUAUUGUGCUUUGGUCAAUAUGCUGUCCUUCACCAUGAAUACAUCUGUUAAAAAAUUCCUUAUUGAUUACACUUUGACAUUCUGUUGUUCAAUGCUACCAGAAUAACAUGCAUAUAUCCACUUUUUCUUUUUCUUUUUAAUUUUUUUUUCUCUUGAAGAGAUCAAUUUAAUUUCUCAAAGCUAGUAGUUCUUAAUCUAAUUUUCUAAGAGCUUAAAUUUAUGUUUUCAUUUUGGAGAUUUCUAAUAGAUUUUUAAAUUGGAUACAUUUGAAUAGACCAAGAGUUCUUUUUUGAUACAACUGUCUAGCAACUCUACUGUCCAAGUUAUAUCCUUAUUAACUCAAUUAAGACGUAUAUGGCUGGAUAUAAAUUGAGAUUCUGGUAUGUUUUUGUAUGCGAUAAAUAAAAUGGGUACAAUUGGUGUCGUCUCAUUCAUUUGGGCAUAUGCUAAUGUUAUUAUACUCCUUACAAUUAUAAAUGACCGAUAAAAUCAUAUUUCUGUUAACAACGGUACGUGUUGGUCCAAAAAAAAAAAAACUAAAGCUUUAUUUACCAAAGAAAACACGAAUAGUUUACAUGUAUGUACAGCAUAUUGUCGCACUAGAGGGGAGUGCCCACAUAUCACGCAAGUGUUUGAUACCUGUAGUUAAAGAGAAUUUUUUAUUGAAUAAAUAAUAGUAUAUCCUGAAAAAAAAUAGUUAUCAACUAUGACAAAAUUAAUAAUAGCAUAUUCUAAUUGCAACACACACUUGUACACUUUAUUUUAUCAAUACUUUUACAAUUUUACCGUUUCUAAAAGGCCCCUACAGAUGUCAAUUGAAAAUCGUCCAAAAGCAGAUAUAAGCUAUCUCACAAAGAAAUAUCCUUCAACGGUUAGUUAUAGCAACGUGUUAAUUGCACAAUGUGUUAAUAUGUUUUUGUGUUAAUUGUACAACAAAAGCUGCACUUCAAUUAAAUGUGUUUAUAACAUCAUUUCAGUAAUUACACCGACACAUAAGCUUAUAUGAGUUCUACUCGAUGCAAAAACGGUUGCAAAAUAAUUUCAUAUUCCAGAAAUACUCAAAUGUCUCCAUAAAUCAAAGUUUUAAAUGUACGAGAAAUAAGGGCAUUUCAAUAAAUAUAUUUAAACACAUGCUGCCCUCGAUUGCAUCAAAAAUUUUAAAAAAACUACACAACAUUUCACAUUCCUAAAAAGCUCCUAUCUAUGCGGUUGAAAUUAAAAUCUCACUGUGACCACAACUUAUUCUUAUAUAGUACUCCCUCCGUCCCACUUUGAUAGUCCUGAUUCUUUUUUCACACAGUUUAAUAAAAAGUAGUUAACUUUGUUGGAACAAUCAAUUUAGGUAGCUAUUUUCCUAAAAUUCCCUCACAUUAAUUAGAGUACAACUUUAUGGGAACUUAAAUUGAUGGUAAAAAAAGAAUCAACUCUCAUUAAAUGGGGUAGGUUUAUAGUAACAACAACUUACAUUGAAUAAAGAUAUUUUAGGAAAAUUAAAAUACAACUACAUUCUUCAAUUGAAAAGUGGACUACAAUUUGGGACAGACGAAAAAGGAAAACAGGACAAUCAAAGUGGGACGGAGGGAGUAUAAGGAAAAAGAUACAGCGUAUUUUUUUUUUUGGUAUUUACCAAAGAAAACAUGAACAGUUUACGUGUAUGUACAGCGUAUUGUCGUAUACAGUCUAGUUUUCUUGUAUAUCGAGCCUUCACACUAUCUUUCAAGAUUUAAAACAAUAUUGUAUAAAUAAUAUUUUAGAAAUAGAAAUUAAAUAGCUCUAUGUUCUGAUAUUAAAAAACAAAAAAAAAACACUCAUAUUUGGAAGAUGCAGUCGGUCCCCGGGCCUUCCAACGACCAUAUGGGGUCCGCGUCCAACCUUGUGAGGAGUAGUACAGUAAAAUUGCUCGAAGUUUGCAAUGAUCAUUUAUGGAAACAUACCUUUCGAUUAUGGAAGCAAAAGGAACUCCCUUCAGUCGGCAUAUUUUUCAAAUUCUUGUGGAUACUGUGAAAGGGAUCAUGUCUUCAAAAUUGAAGGGUCAAACUAAGGAAAGAAUAUAGAUUAUUGUGAUUUCGUUUAGAAGCAAGGUCCUUGUAAUUACGGCGAAACAUGAAGAAGAUCAAUUUAUGUGCCCUUAAACUACAUUGAAAUCAAGAAAUUUCAGAAGCUAUUUUUUUAAUAAAACAAAUGAAAGUAUUCUGAUUUCAUGGUUUGAUUUUUAACACGAGUAGAACCUUAUACAAUCAAUCAAGACUAUUCGGACAUGUUCUCAUUACACUUAAUCCCCGUAAGAUAUACCAUUAUUAUCACUUUAACCCCCUAACAUUUAUUUUGUAUCACUUAACUCCCUGUGAGACAAAACUAUCUUUCUAUUAGUAUGAUUUACUAUUUCUUUAGUCAUUUGUCUUUUUUUUUUUUUGAACUUCCAUUUUUUACCUUCUUUAUUUUUUUUUCUCUUGCUUCUUCUUUUCUCUUUCUUUUCCCAGCCAAAGGUUCAUCUCCAAAUUAAGACCAGGACAAUAUAAAUUUUUUUUGGGAAAUCAAAAUAAUAGACAAGUCACAAUAUUUUGUGAUCACAUAACAGUUAAUACUAGAGUAAUUUCGAUUUCCAAUUUUUUGCAACAUAUAUAAAAGUUCUAUUUAGAAUAUCAAAGCUCCAAAGCAAUUUUCUGAUUCAAUCUAUUGCUGAUAAAAGUGAUUAGAAGUUAGGAGAGACAAAAAAGAAAAAUAUAUAAGAAACCAUAAUAAGAGAGGGGUACUUUAGUUUUGCAGGAGAUUAUUUGUAAUUAACCCUUUUUAUUUCAAAGAAUGAGUCCAACCGGAUGAACGAAUCUCAGUCUGCCCAAUCACAAUCCUACCCUUAACAUAUAUAAUCAUCAGCGCAUUUUUGCAAAUGAUUAUUGGUUAGACCUUUUUUUUUAUAUGUAUAAUAGUCAUUAUUUGCAUAUCUUCAAGUCGAAAUAGCUAACUACAAAAUUAAGUCUUUUUGGGCUUCAAAAUAGGUCAAAUUACUGUCUAACAAUGCAUUGAGAUGAUCAAAAUGGUUAUGAGCAAAAUACAAUGGAGAAUCAAGACUUAGUAACAUCUAAAAUUGGUCAAGUUAAAUUAAAUGGAACCCUCGUAGAGCAAAUAUAUAAUUGACCAAUUGCUUUUAGGUUAACAUGAUUUGAUUUUGGCUAGAACCAAAUAAAAACUGAAUAGUGAUAAACAGCCAUGAUUAUGAUGCCAUCCUUUUCAAUCUUGAAUUUGAUAGUGCUGGAAAUCUAAGAAGAUUAGUCUGCUUCUGUAAUAUUGCUCUCAAAGUUAUUGGAUUGGCUAGCCGCAAAAUUUUUCUACAUGAAAAGCCAAAAACAUUGUGUACACAAGAUCGUAGUUGUGUUUGAGAAUAUCCUAUAUGAAAACGAAUACGUCAUUAUAAAUCACAAAAACAAAAAAGUAAAAGCAAAUACAUGGUUGGUUAUGCAAAAGGAACAAAGCUUUCAACUGGAAGAGAAUAUAAUUGAGUACUGGUAGCCCCAUUUCCUUUCUUUGGUAGUUUGGUUUCAAAAGCUAUUGGUCCACGCCUAUAAGAUACAUUGUCUCUUGCCAUCUCCAGCGAAAAGGAAUUUGAAAGCCAUAUCUUGCUUUAUAUGGAUAUGAAUAAUGAUAUUCUCUCGAGUCCAAGAUACUGAAUCCCAUGUGCAUUACUUUGUUUUUUUUUUUAAUUUCCCCACUGUUUACUUUUGUUUCUGAUUAAAAAACAAAAAUGAGAGUUUUGUACCUCCUGCAACUUGUACAUUUCCUUAUCUGGGAUCAAUGCCGUGAUUCUUGUAGAACAAAGAGAUCAGAAGAUAGUGAAGGAACCAAUCAUCUUUUCUUGGGAAUCUGGGAUUAUGCAGCAUAACUUUUUUGCCGAGUCGAUCCCACGCCCUACUAAAACUCAGAAAUAUAUUACUUUGUAAUCUAUGAACUGAUGAAUUAAUACCUUGAAUGAUUCUAAAAGCAGGAUUUGCACAAUGAAAAAAAUUUAUAUGCUAGCUGCUACUCUCAACUACACACAAUGACAAAAACCUUAAUAAGUAUACUGAUCUAAAUAAUAAUAGUGUAACUAUUUCAAUGUAAGCACGGAUAAAUCCACGUCUGCGCAUAAAUCCACUUCUGAUAAACCCACAGGAUAAGGAUUGGGCAAUUAGACUUCCUCUUUUGUGGUAUUAUCCUCUAUUGUAUCAAUGUCAGUCAUCUUUUAUGGAGAAUAAGUUAUUUUAAAUAAUAAAUAGAGUAGAAGAAGUGAAUUAUUAUUCUUGCAUCUACAGAGCAACUUAAAUUUCUCUAUGAUGUUUGCCAAAGAAAAGAAGGAUUAAUCUUCUAUACACUGACAGCAUAUACACUUUUAAUGUUAGAUGCAUGAUACAUAAUUUUAAUUUAAAUUUGAAACUCAAAUUUUGCAUAUGCUCGUAUAUCCAACCGUGAUAGUGUAUAAAAGAUUACUCAAAAAAAAAAAAACCUAGAUGGAAUAACAAAAAAAGGAAUUUAUAGAGAAUGAACUAGGACAAAAUAGGUCAAAAUAUGAAUGUGAAUUCCAUGACUUUUGUCUCCUUUUACCUUGUAAGAUGAAGCUUUGGACUCUACAAAAUGUAGGAUAAAGGGCAUUACCGUCUAGUUGUUUAAUUGGGCAAGUUAGUGUGGAAAGAUUGGAUCUAGGCUUUUCACAUUUUCUUUUUCUUUUUUAAGUUUUCUAUUUGAGGCGUAGUAAAGUAAUAUAUAUCGUUCUACUUUAUCUCCUUCUCUUCACUUUUUUUUUUUUUUUUUUGGCAAAAUUCGAACAUCAAGGCAGAUGUUCCCGUCACAAAUUUGUAUAAGGAUGGGCAUAUGCUCUAUAAUUAAGAACUUCUAAAGCAAUUUUUUUUCUAAACCCUCAUGUCUAAUUUGUGUUGGUUAAGGAGUUUGAGGUGAGAAUCGAAUCCAUGUUCAAGAACAUAAUUGGAUAGCGUACUUCCAACAGCACUCCCCCUUGCCUCCUUUACCUCCACUAUGGUUUAUGUAGAUGCCGACUUAAAAUGAUGGCGAACUGAAAUGUUUGUCAAAUUUAAAGAGUGAGCAAAUGCAUGCAUCUAAGGGAUGGAAGCCGCAAUUGGUGGCAGACCUAGUUGCACAACUGAUGCAACGUAAAAUCAGCUUUUCAUUUCAACUGUUACACCCUAAUCCGCACGGGGCCGAAAUUUCUUGUAAUUCAGCAAUGAUAGAUAUUUUUGUUUUCUUGUUUUUUUUUUCCCUAUACUGCAGUGGUCCUGCAACCCCUGUAUCUAAUCCUGAGAAUUAAUGAUCGGAUUUUGGUAUAUUUUCUAUUUAUUGUUGGUGCAUAAGGGGGUAACGGGGGAUUUUUGUGAGUUGAUAGGAGAGGAGCCAGAAGACUUGUGGGCGUCAAACAUAAAGAAUCAUUGGAUGUUUGGAUGUGCAUGCUCUAUUGCCGGUGUGGUGAUAAAAAAGAGAUGGUGAUAUGGAGAAAAAGAGGUUUGGUUUGUUGCCAUUUCAGUAAAUUGGCAAUGUUCCCAGUUGCCAAGAAGCAUGGAGGCCAAAUCAACCCUCAACACACAAGCCUUAUCCAGACCAAACUGCUUUCCUUAUUAAAAGCAGUGAUGCGUAGGGAAACAGACAGUCAUAUGGAGCGGUGAAAGGCACAUUUGAUGAUAUGUUUGAUAUAUUCUUCCAACAGCUUGAUAUAAUCCUGCUUAACGUGUCAAUACCCCACUGCCUCAUUCACUUAUUGUGGGGCUUUCUCCUUUGAUCUUCUUAGACAAGGAUAAAAGAGACUUUGAUGCUAUGUUUACAAAAAUCUGCAACGCUGGCAAUGUGGUUGUGGAAUUACCCAAACUCGUUGAAACCCUUUUCUCUGCACCCUCAAAGCACACAAAUUGAUGCAUCUUUUAAUUUGCUUUAUGUAGAAUUGUAUAUAGACACCUAUAUUUUAGUUUAGGACAAAUUAUCCCUUUGACCCUUGAACUUUUAGUUUAGGUAAAAUUAAACCCUCUAACUAUUUGUAGUCAACUUUUAACCUUCGAACUUGUAAAAUUGGAAACUCGUGGCCUUUUGGCUAGUUUAUCCGAUUUUGCAACCGAAAAGCCAAAUCACACGAAUGGCAGUAUGUUUUAAAGAAUAAUCUUUUUGUCUGCACAGAAAUAAGCAAAAGUGAACAACUCUAUUUUCUUCCCUUUUCCUAAGCCAAAUCGCUAAUAGAUCUCAAUAGACAAAUUGCGGAGGGAAGGGAGAGAAUUGUGCCAUGAAACAAGCAAAAAUGCGCAAAUAUCGCAGUCCUCCAUUUCCUAUUUGUCCCUACAGUAAAGUUACAAAGAUGAAUAUUUCGUGGACUGAUUGAAACCCAGAAAGAAGGUACUCCGUUUGCUCACAAGAAAUUGGUAGCUAUGGGUAUUAGGAUUAGAUUAACGAGGAGAUGUGCCGUCGUUCUAUUAAGUUGAUACAAGGCUUUCUAAGAAGGAUCAAUGCAACAGAAAAGCAAAAGGAGGAAUUUGAAACUGCAGCAUCAAGAUCUGAGGCAAAAACUACUAAGUUGAAGGCAAAAUUAAGAGAAACAGAGGAGCAUCUACGAUGGCAAAAAUAGUUGAAUAAGUUUCUUGUAAGGGUACUUAUGGUAAGUUGGUUGGUUGCUGUAAUAAUGAUGCUUACAGAGAAAAAAGAGAUGGAAUCUCUGCUGAAAUGCUACAAAUGGAGGUAAAUGUACUGGGAUGAUGCUACAAAUUCGUGUGAUUUGGCUUUUCGGUUGCAAAAUCGGAUAAACUAGCCCAAAGGGCUACAAGUUCCCAAUUUUACAAGUUCAAAGAAUGAAAAUUGACUACAAAUAGUUUGAGAGGUUAAUUUUACCUAAACUAAAAGUUUAAGAGCCAAACGGAUAAUUUGCCCUUUAGUUUAUGCAGUAGUGAAAUGCUACAACUAAGUGUGUGAGCUGUGUGCAUGUCCCACACAGUAGGUCGCUCUAUGACGAUUAGAUUAGAUGAUGAUGAGAGGAGAUUUGCCCUCAAGAAUUUUGUGGCUGCAAAAAGUAGGCCCAACUGCAUGCCUAAUUGCCUAGCCCUUUAUGGGGCUUUUUAGUGUAAGGAAAUAUGAAAUACCAUACUUCAUUAUGUAACCAUUUCAUGAGCAGCAUCUACAAUUUGUUGCCCUUACCCCCCUUUAUAUGUGUCCUGGUUCUUUUUUUGUUUCCCCUAUUUUGAGCAGUGGAAAUGGAGGACACUACAAAUUAAACACGGUCAAUUGAUCCAUUGGUGCUUACUCAUUUAGAUGGGACCUCAAUUCAUUUGAGGCUGGACAUGUAUAAUUCGAUUCUCAACGUUUGGUGGCCAAGAUAUGAUCACGAGUGCCCAUUUGGAAUAAUUGCAGCUAAUCAUAAUGCUUAACUACAAUUUUUUGUGGGAUUUACAUCUAUUUAUUAGAAGUUCAUAACCAUUGACAGAGACCAGGCCCUAGGUUGACGGAAACAUUUAAAGCCAGAAACAAUUUGAAACUGUACAUAAACAUUCAACAGAAAGUUAGGUUGAAUUUGAAUUCUGGAGGGAGCGAAACAGAAGUCUCGUAAAACCACUGAACUUUGGUUCAAUGGCCAUCAAAAAGGGAUUAAAUUCUUCAUUGGACUGUAGGUUAGGAUUCGAAUCCUACUUGCAGUGAAAAAAAUCCAAAGGAAGUGCUAAAAUACCAUUUUGAUCUAGUUAGACUUGUAUACCUACUAGCUCCUUACACGGUCUCUUUAGGUUCCCCUCCUUAUAGAAUAAAAUAAAUUAGGUUAUAUAAAUGUUAUCGUUGCCGAAAAAGAAAAAAGAAACAGAAGUGUUGUAGGUUAUACAUAUGCUUUUAAUUUUCCUUUCUAAAAAUGCCAUAUAAUGCUUUUUAUUCAUUUAAUGGCUGAUACUAUUAGUUUUCGUGAAGUUCACAAUAUUGUGGAUCUGACGCUUCUAUAAUUGCUCAUUUCAGUUACAACUUACAAUUUGUGUGACAAAAUAAAUAUAUAUACUAAGACAAAACAUGCAAAAAAAAAUUAAAUCUUAUUCUCACUAAUCGAAAAUUGUGUCUCACGAUCAACUCUCAUCCGUCUAAAUCAAAGUAGAUACGCAUCCAACAAUGGCGUAAAUUACUCGAUCCCCAUAUUAGCAUCCACCAAAUCACUUGCCUUUUCCAACAAAUCAAAGACUCGUUCAUGGACAAAGUCCAACAUGAACAAAAGUAGCGACUUGAAAGGGAAUAAACAUCAUUUAUAUUCUCCCAAUCGAGAUUAAAUUCUAAAUUUGUAAGUGCAACGUAAGAUUCCAAGAUUUUGGGGAUAACUGCCCCUUUUCUUCAUUUUUUUUUUUUUUUUUACGUGUAGGUAUAUAAUAAUCAUCAUAUUAGCCGUAAAAAUGUCCGUAGCUUGUGCAUUAGUGGCCAAAACGUAGAAAAGUUUUCCACAUUCCAGAUCCUUCACGCAUCAAACAUAGCGGGUAUCUUGCAUCUUCCUCCAUAUGAAGAGGGGCCGGAAGAUAGAACUUUCUCCCAAUCUUUAUUUGUUCUCAAGCACCUUUGCCCAUCAAGGAUCAAUAAUUUUGACUGGUCUUAGAUAUUCUGAUGCUCACGCGAUCCACUAUUAGCGUGAAAACCACGCCGCAACCUACUGGGUUGAAUCAUAGGUGGGCACUUAAGCAGCGGGCACUAGCUUUCGUUUCUUGUUCUGAUACUCCAUGUAAUAGAGGACAAGUUUCACUUUGCCAUCAAGAAUCUAAAAUCUUUGUUUCUGCAUUAUGGAGUCUGCAUUUACAGCUCAGAAUGAAGAUGCCAACUUUUGGUAAGAAUUAAUUUUAAUAUGUUGAGUUACUUGGAUUAAUUUUUGAAUAAAAACCAUCUCUUCUCUGUCAAGAAUUCACCACUUUCGUUGUAUGAUUUGCGUUUUCAUCAAUUUUAAGAAUAAUAGUGUAUUUCUCUGUGACAUAAACUACUCCAUAAAAUGACCAAUGGCAUUGUUAUACUGUUAGUCUGUUAGUACUAGUUAUGAGGUGAAGAGGUUUCAUCCUUGUCACCAAGUUGGAUUUAGGAUCCACACAAAAAGUGCAGAAGUUUAAGGGUUGAAGAAAUAGGAUGCUACUUUGACAAAAGGUAAGAAUUACGAGGACUAGACCAUCUUAACUACUGUUGUUGUCUUCUUUUUCCUUUUUUGGUAAUAUAGUACUUAAAAUUUUAUGAUAACUGACUGCAUUUUUGGUAGCCUAAUAUAUGGAUUGUGAUAACUGAUUGUAUUUUUGGUAGCCUCAUACCGCUUCUAGUUCAAUUCUUUCGAAUUCAUUGGAUCCCUUUCCGCGUUCGAGAAUCCCUUCCUUUCUUACACUUCGAAGAGUAAAGUAACUAGAACUAAUUUAGUCACCUUUUCAUGUUUCAAUUGAACACUUUCUAUUUUUUAUUAUCCUCAAGAGAGAAGAUUAUUCUUUUUAACAGACAUAUACGGGUCCAAUUAUGAUCUUAUAAUAAGAACAAGAGAUCUUUACCCCUCAUUUUUCGAGAAUUAAAAAGAUCCUUUUCAAAUUUGAAUUUGUUUAUUUGGAAUCUAGAUUGUUCUACUUUAUAUUUAUUUAAAUUUAAUAUUUGUCCUCUCUUUUUUUUUUUUAAUAUCAUUCUUUAAGUCCCAUAAGUUUGAUCCUAUAGAAUUUGAUCCAUUUUUCAUUGAACAAGGGAUACGAAAUAAAAUAUUAGAAAAUGAUUUGAUUGGAUAAUAAAAUGGAAGGGAUUAUAAAUAAAGAUGUCUGACUUUCAAAUAUAUGUGCGGGCGGCGGGCGCGCGCAGGCAUUGCGAAAAUUCAAAGUCCCAUUGCCUUUCAAUUUGGACCAGUCAAGGACGCCAUUCAAGAAAGUUGACCAAUAGUAAUGAAGAAAUUCAACGGAAGUCCACGCGAAAGGUAACUUUCAGUUCAGCAUUCAGGGAUUCAGCAUUCAAAGGAAGUAAUCAAGUUACUCUUGAAGUCAUGUUUCAUUCAUUGCCUGUGUAAAGUUUUUUCCCUUCACGAAUCUCAAUUCAAUUGAGAUCGAGAAAUAUAAACGUCCGGACUUUGUCUAUAAAUUAUAAAAGAGUAAAUCUUAUAUACACUGUCAGUGUAUAUAUAUAUUCACCAUUAAAUAUAUUACAUGUGUAAAAUUUAAAUUUGAAAUCUAAAUUUGUUCAUUAUAUUAUCCAUACAAUCAUAAUAAUAUAUACGCUGACAACAUAUAUAAGAUUAAUCCAACAAUCACUUCUCUUCAAAAACUGAGAGCUUGCAAUUACAUCCUUAUCUCCUUUUUAAGUAGUUUUAUUGCAUCACUGAUUAGUCAAUUUUAAUCAGCUGUGAACUAGUGUAUCACCCAAAUGUUGAAAAAGGAGUUAGCCCACUUGAAAAGUGGAAAAAUUAAUAAUGCAUGGUUGUAAAUAUCAAGGGCUGACCGCAGACAUAAGAAAAUAAUUCAUCUGAAGUAAAGUCCAUCUAAAGAAAAGGGCUUCGAUUCUUUUAUUCUUUGGAAGAAUUGAUAAGUUCAUGGAGGGUAAAGUCCAGGAUGAGAGAUUUUAUUUAUUUAUUUUUUUUGAAAAAAGACAAAACCAUUCACAUGGCUGAUGGCUCAUACAUGUUCCAAAACCUUCGUGUGCCAUACUGUUCCAAAACCUUCAUGUGCCGAUGUGUGGCUGCAAUUGCAUUCUAUCGGCAACUGGUAGUGUCCACUGUCUUGUCAACUGCAAAGUCAAAUUUGUGAACAUACAAGUAUAUAUCCGGAUUCAGGAUGCAGCAUUGAAUUAUUGAAAGCUUUGUCUAUCAACCUGCCGAAGGGUAAAGACAAAGGAACAAAAACAAAAACAAAAAAAAAAACAAAAACACUAGAAGGUGCUAUUGAAUGAUUGGAUUGUAGAUGUAGCGCCCACAAGCCAGCAAUUGGUUUCAUUAUAGUUUGUUGAACAUCGCAAAAAUGAAUAUCUAGUCGAAUUUGAAUCUCCGUCCCACUUCGAUUAUGGGUUCUUCAACCUGAGUUUAAAGUUCUCAGCCGCACCUCCUGUCACCAAUUGGUUGGAUGGUGUUGAUUUGUGGAUCCCCCUUAAAUUAGUCUCUGACUCAAUUUGGCGAUGAUUUUCUGAGCGUUCUAAUCUAAUGGGGUGUGUGUGUUUAUUUCUGUCUAUGGAAAAAAAAAAUAGUCGAAUUUGAAUCCUAUAUUAAUUUAUUGAAUGAAAUUGUACCAUAUCUCGUGUUGAUAAUUGUUGAGAUGCUUUUGUUCUUAAUUGGAAUGAUACAAUUUUGCAUCCCUAAUGUUUUGCGCGCAGAGAUUCUGAAUUUGUACCUUAACUUUUAUUUUGAAAAUUCUGCACUCUAAAGUUAUAAAUACCUAUUAUAUUGCACGCCGAACUUUUAUUCUAGACAGUUUACACCCUAAAUGCACCAUUUAACUUAGAAUUCUUAUAACCUUGAGGUGUUAGUUGAAAAUAGCUGAAAAUAUAAGGGGUACGAAGUUUAUUAAACCCUUCUUAAUUUUCAAACACAAUUGGAGUAAGUAAAACAUGCGAGUCACUCGUUUAUGCUUUCAAUUUUGGAUUGAACAAUCAACAAAUUCAUUUUUCAUGCAAAAGCAAUUUGUCCCUAAAAAAAAACUUAAAAGAAGAAAAGUAAAACGAAGUAAAGAGAUUUGAGUAGUCUAAGGGUCUGUAUAAACUAUAGCAGUACAGAAUUUUCCCCUUAAGGGCUAUUCUCAGACUUAACAGGUCAAUAAAAAUGAUCAGCCAACACGAUUGUUAUCAGUCAAAUAAGAUAAGAGGAUCGCUUUUGAUCACCUUAGAAACAAUUGAAUGAGAGAGAGAAAUAUAAGUAAUCUUUAGGAAGGCGGUGAAGGGGAGGGUGAUUCCCCCGGCUUGGGAAGAUUAUGCUGCAUUUUGUUGUGAACUGGAGGGGGUGGGCUUGGCAACACUCUAUCCACAAUUGGAUCAUAACCUGCAAUUUCAAGGCCGAAAUUUGUUGUCAUCGUUUUCUUGACCCAAGAAAGAAAGAAUGACACCAAAACAAGAUGUUUUUAUUCCAGCUUUCUGAUACUCAGUCUCGGAAUAUAUUAAUGCUAAUCAGAAUGACUAUUAAUUCUCGUCAAGAAGUAAAUGAUCUUCAUGAUUUUCAUUUUCCAGAAACUUAUUACCUGAUAUAUUUUUUUAUCUGAAAACGGGAAAAUGAUUUAAAUGGAGUACAGUUUGUUCAUCCUAGCCAUUUAUAUCACUAUAUGGGAAAAUUUGCAAAUAUUCUAGUUUACUUAUAAGUUUGGUCGUGGAAGAAACAGAAAAAAAAAAAAAAAAAAUAGCAGCAGAAUAGACUAAGGUGGUUAGAGAUGAUAAUUCAUACCUGCUGUGACUUGAUGGAGCUGUUCUGCGAUGAAAAUUAUCACAAUGAAGAUCCUCAUAAAUUUAAUAAUUCUCGAAAGGAAAGAAGGAUAUUUCUUGUUUAUGCUUGGAUUGUGCUCAAGUGCUUUCUUCCUCGACUGAGAUACACAGGAGGGAGCCAUGACGGGAAAAUUGUGGUCUUCUGGCCUUCAAAGUUUACGGUACUGUCAUGUAUUCACAAACUCUUUCUUACCUUAUUAAAAAAAAAAAAAAGAUAACUAUUACAGGCUACUCUUUUGUUUUGAAAGAAAAUAGAUAAUAUAUGGAUUCGUUUUCCCUAUCAAUACUAUUUUCAAUUGAGAACAUUUUCUUGACUCACAAGUUGGAAUUGAAAGUUUUUUUCUGAACUACUAACUCAAAUAUGAAAUUCAAAUAGCCUCCAAACGAAACUAAUUUAUGAAUCAAACAUAUUGAAUUGUGAAAAGUCGACUUGAUUGAAAUAUCUGCAUAGCUAGGCCCUUAAACCCUUUGCAGAGAUGUCAAACGUUUAUAUUUGUAAGCAGCUUAACUUAGCUAUGGUCAUCCAAAGUUUGUUUGAUUUUCUUGAUCAGAGUGAUCAAAGGAUUUUCCUGUUCAUCCUCGAAGGCAUUUAUUAGUUUUAACUGAAGUCAAGUGUUUAGACAUUGGUCAUGACUCGUGAGUCGUGACCUUGGUUCUUCUUUGUGUCUCAUGGUCAAAGUAUGGGAAAACGUGUUGCCCUGUUGAUAAUAUUAUAUUCGUUUGGAUUACUAUUUUCUGAAUUUUUUAUAUAAUAGCGAUUUAACAUGUGUAAUGUAAAAAGUUAUUCAAGAAAUAAUUUGAUCAUAGAAAACAUAAAAAUUGUUCUGAGAAAAACUUCAAUCCAAAUGAUAACACGUGUCAGUAUGAGCUUGACUCGGAUUGGUUCUCAUAAUUCUGGUAUUUUUAUGUCCCAGAUUUAUAUAUCUACAUUAAUUAAGCGGCUUGGAAAUUGACUAGCUUUUCAAUUGGUUCCCACGAGGAUUGAUUAAAUACAAGCAACUUCGGUUUCCUUUUUCUUUUUUAUGAUCUUCAUGAUUUUCACAUUCCAGAGAGGUACAAACCUGAUUGUUUCUGAAACUAGGAAAAGUAAUAAAACGAAUUUUUCUUCAAAAACAAAAAUGGAAGAAAAGAGGGUUCUGUUCAUCAUUCAUUUGUUAGAAGAGGAGUAAAAUAACUAAUAACAUCAGUCAUAUAUCGUGUUAUAUGAAGAGUGGACAGAUGACUCUUUCAAAGAAAAAAAAUUAGUUUAUGAAAGAAAAAAAAAAUUUAAACUGCUUUUGAAGACAAAUAAAUUAAAAUAGCCUUCAAAGAAAAUUAAUUUAUUCUUUUCUAUUUCAAACCUUUCGCAGAAAAUGCUGAACUGAAUUAGUCACUAAACCUAAUCAACCAUGUGAAAAGCUGACUUGCAUGAAUGAAAUAUUUCGGACAGCUACUAGUUCUUCGGCCCCCCACCUCUACACUGAAGUCAAACCUUUAUCUUCUUAUAAUUGCUCAUUCUGAUACUGAUAGAUAGCUCCAACUUCCGAGUGUUUCUUCUAAUUUACUGUUUAUCUUCUCUCUCUGUCUCUCUCUUUUUUUUUUUGGUCGGUCCUUCUAAUUUGUGUUCAGAAAUAGUUAUAUGCUCAGUGGAAGUAAAAUAGGAGCAGUUUUUAGCACAAUAAAUACAUUUUCCUUUGCAUUAAGGGAUUUAAUAAAGAAUUUGAAAUUCUCUCAAAUCUGGGUCGAUUUUGAUAGAUGCUUGGCACGUAAUUCACUAAUUAUUUUGAUACGUUUAUAAACUGAACUGUUUUCUCCAAAUCUCUCGAUUCAAACGCAACCAAAAGAAUUCUAUUUUUAUUGGUCCCACUUCGACAGUAGAGUAGAAAAUUUUCAGUCAUCAGAGCAGCAUUGUCAUUAUUUGAAAGAAAUAAUAAGGCCAUCAUGCCACCAUUGCAUAUUAUAUUCAUCCAACCAAUUUUGCAGACAAGCAAACAUCCGUAUAAAUUGACGAAGCUGAACAGGAUGUUUUGGGAUUGAUGUCUGAAAACUGGAUUAGGCCUUGUCAACAUCCAAAAGGACGUUAAUGGCAGAAUAAUCUAUUGGGUUGUUGUGGAUUAAUCAUUAAUCUUCUCCUAACUACACAUAUCAGACAAAGGGUUAGAUAUCACUCAUUAUCAUGUUCUUGUUUUUUCUUUCAUAAUAGAAACACCAUUCAUUCUUGACUCUCUACCUUUUUUGCUUGCCCUCAAAUUGAAUCUUUUAUUAUUGUUUUUCAAGACAGAGCAUAAAACAAAAUGAUUUUAUUUUGAUUAAAAUAUUGACAUAUUGGAUUCCAUUAAUUUCCAUGCAUAACACCAAAAUUGCACGAAUAAAGAGAGUACUUUGAAUUGAAAUUUUUUUUGUAGCCACUGUUUACAUGUUCUUUAGAUGACUAUUAAUCAUGAUAUCAUAAAAAAAAAAAGAAGCAAAACAUGAUGUUAUUUCUUUUAUUCCGUUGGAUGUAAUUCUCUCUUCUUCUUUUUUUUUUUCUGUUUUGUAGGUAUUGUUUACAUGCUCUUUAGAAAACAAUUAAUCUCGAUAUCAUUUAAAAAAAAAAAAUCAUGACGUCAUUUUCAUUUUCUUCCGUUGGAUGUAUUUUUUCCCCCUUCUUCUCGCAACAAAUUUUACGUCAUAUGCGUUAAUAAAAGAUAAGCGUCUGGUGGUGGGCAGCAAGCUUGCUGCUUUUGUUGUUAACGUCCAUCUUCUUUUUGGAUCCUAAAGUCCAAAGAAUUAGAACUUGGGCUUUUAUCCCUAGAACAAUUCCAGAGGACAUAUUAAGACAUUUCGCUUGUACAAGUCACCAACAUGGGCCGAGUUUAAAUCCAAUUGCAAGAGCUUAUAUUGGCCAUUUAUAGGUAAAAAUACUUUUUGAUUUUGAGUAAGUUUUUUAUACAUCAUCAGUGUACGAUUUUUUUUUAAGACUAACAAGUUUAGAUCAUGUUACUUAAUAUGAAUUUAAAUUAAAAUUUAAAUCAUACACACGUGUCGUCAUACAUCCGUUGUUACUAAUGUAAAAAAAUUACUAAACUAUCAGUGCAUAAAAAGUUAAUCCAUACUUUUUUUUUAACUAUGUAUUAGCUUAGAGUUCAUUUCAUUACUAAAAGAAUUUUAAUUUUAAAUAGAGUUUAUAUAAGUGUCGUUCAUCCAACCCGCUAGUCGAAAAACUAAUUUUAAGCUGGAAGGUCAUUUUCUUCUAAAAGCCAAUUUUAAGCUAAAAUGCAUUUCCAUUGUGUAUUAUUGGAUUAUAUGAAAAACUUGAAUUGUUCUCCAUUGGAAUAUGAUGAUCUUUUCUUUCAUCCUUGUUAUUUUUUUUCCCUUUAAGGUGGCAAUCAAUACGUGCAUGAACGUGUAAGUUGCGUGUGUAUUUUUGUCUUUGAAAUAUUUUUCUAUGACCUUGCUCAUGAUUUUUCCUCCAUUUCUCCCCCUUUAUAGCUUCCCUUUUUUCUUUUCUAAAUUAAAGUGUUCCCACUAGUACGUAACUUCCUCUUCGUUUAUCAACUUAUUCCAUUAAUUUUCAUUUUCAAUAAACAAAAUACUAUAUCCCUUUACAACUCUCACAAAUUUUUUUAUGCCUAUCAUAAUGAAAAUUGCAUAGUGAACUACUUACUAUACGUUAUGAGAAUGAAAUCGGGUGGUUUAUGAAUAUGGAAAGGAUUAUGGAAUCGGAUGGCAAGUAUUCUACUGAGGGGAUAGAAACAAAAAUGAUAAAAAUAUCAUUUUAUACGAAUUAAAAUAAAUUGAAGAGAAAUGCCAAACUGGUUUUUCUUUUUUCUUUUUUUUAUACUGCACAAAAAACUUUGACUAACAAAUUAACUAUAUACCAAUUGGAAGUCUGAGGUAAAAUCAAAUGUUGUAUUCAUUGAUAAACUCUAGCUAGUGCAAUUCACAUUGGAACGUGCAAUUUUCGUUCUACAAAGCAUUAGAGGCAUUUCCAUAUCUUUUCUUUUCUAUCCUAUACUCCCAAACUGGCCAUAACAGUCCUUAAAUUUUAUCAGGGUGGAGAGCAAGAGCUAAUUUCCCAUACUGUUUCUUUAUUGUCUCAUCAAUCACACCAACCAAGGACCUCAUACCAGUCCACUUCUCCAUUCACCUUUGUCUCAGAAGCAGCAUAUAUAAUAUAACAAGCGUCUCCCGAAAGACCCUCUAGUUCAAGAAACAGGCUUUGAGCCUUGGAAGCAAAUCUCAUAGCUCCUCGUAUCGUAUGUCAUUCUCUGCCAACUUUUGCUCUGCCAUUUCUUUCGUUGGUUAAAAAGGUAACGAAGAAAAAAGCAUAAAUGGCCGUGCUGGACACAAUAGAUUUACUUCCAAGUCACAGAAAUUUUUCUUUUGGGUCAUAUAAAUUUGUCUUGAUAUAAAUAUCGGAAAAAGCCAAAUUGGUUUUUUUCUCCCUGCACGUGGAUUGGGGAUUUUUUUUAAAAACAAGUUUUUCAACUACAAUACUACAGUAAUACUGUAAUACACAAAUAAAAAUAACCUUAAAAACAUCAAAAACAACUUCAAAAAUAUCAAAAAUACAAAAAAAGCAACCUCAAAAAUAUAAAAAAAAAACUUCAAAAAUACCAAAAACAUAAAAAAUAACUUUAAAAAAAUACCAAAAAUACAAAAAAAGCAACCUCAAAAAUACAAAAAAACAACUUCAAAAAUACCAAAAACAUAAAAAACAACUUUAAAAAAUACCCAAAAUACAAAAAAAUAACCUAAAAAAUAAUCUCAUCUACAGUAAAAGUUUUUCAAUUACAUUGCUACAAUAAAAUAUUUCAAAAACAGCUCAUCCAAACGGAGAUCUUUUGGAAGUCGUGAGGUAAAAUCAAAUGUUUAUAGGUACUUUUCAUUGAUAAACUCUAGCUAGUGCAAUUCGCAUUGAAACGUGCAAUUUUCGUUCUACAAAAACAUUCGAGGGAUUUCUAUAUCUUUUUUGUUCAAAUUAACAAGAUUCACUCCUCACACUGGUAUUACUUGAAAGAGUUGAGGGAAAAUUUUGAACCCACAAAAAACUACUAGUACUUGUAACGAAAUACGCAUACCAGCCAAGGGUUUAUGUGCAAAGCAUUUUCACCUUCGUUAAUUAACUUGUCCAUGUGUGAACUUGUAGGACUAAUUUAAUUGAUUACCGGACUUGUAUUUAAUUAAAUGGGUUCAACUUCUGCAAUUUAAAAAAAAAAAAAAACCCUUUCUUCGUCUUGGAGUUGAAAAUGAUGUAAGAGUCAUCUUCAGGCUUGUCUUUUAGUUGACUAGUAUACAUAGAGCUUUUUAUUUUCAACUUAUUUUAGCAUUUAUAAUUUUCUCAACUAGGAAAAUAAAAAAACAAAAUAGAAAUUUUAGUUCUGCUACAUCUGCCAGUUCUCUGUUGCUCAAAAACUAACAGUUCGUUUGGGAGAUGGGAAAAGAAAAGAAAAAGGAAACAGGGAAGGAAUAACUUUUUUGGCCAUGCUUGGAUUGCUUGUUUCCGUCGGAAAAUAUUGUCGUUUUUCGUGAUCACAUUUCCCUAUCAUCUUUUUCCCUCACAUAUAUUAAAUUGUUACAGUAAUUUUUCCAUGAAAAAUGACGGAAAAUGCAAUCCAAACACAAAGUUUUUUGGCCUCAUUUGUAGGGCUGCUACAGUUGAAAAACCUUUUUAUCCACUUGUGAGCUGAUUUUGACAGAAAGUUGUAGAAAGUCUGCAAAUUUAAAAAUAAAAAAACAAUUGUGUUCUUAAAUGAAUACUAAAUAAAAUUUUAAUGUCAUAUAUAUCCAAAAUCGCUCCGUUUGUUUCUCAGACUCCUAAAUAACAUCAAUAUCACUUUCAUUCUUUUCUCUUCUCUUCUUUUCUUUCAUAAUUUCUCAUCUUUUUCUUUUAUAUCCUAUACUUCCAAACUACCCAUAAUAGCCCUUAAAUUUUUUUAUAUUUCGGCUUUUUCUAAUUUAAUCCAGCAGCCUUGUUCUUAUCAGGGUGGAGAGCAAGAGCUAAUUUCCUAUACUGUUUCUUUAUUGUCUCACCAAUCACACCAACCAAGGAUCUCAUACCAGUCCACUUCUCCAUUCACCUUUGUCUCAAAAGCAGCAUAUAUAACAAGUGUCUCCAGAAACUGCGAAAGACUCUCCAGUUCAAGAAACAGGCUUUCAGCCUUGGAAGCAAAUCUCAUAGCUCCUCGUAUAUCAUUCUCUGCCAACUUUUGCUCUGCCAUUUCUUUCGUCCCUGGCAAAUUGCCUCAUCUUUGUUACAUUCCAUAUCCACAGGCCAGGAAUGAAAGAUUUUGUUGGAUACAAAAACAUGUUACACUCGUAGUUUCACUUCAUUUUUUGUUGUAUAGCUAAGUUUUUUUUUUUUUCCCAUAGAGGUUACUCCAAAAUUCAAAUAUUUUGUUAAACUACUAUUAGGUUGUGAAUACUGCUCUGGCACGCGGUGCGCACGAUCAAGCGUGACAAAGUAUACAUUGCUACUUAGAGAUCUUUUCAUUCUAAACCAUGUCCAUUGUUAUAUUAUCAUCUAGGAUUAAUAUUGUUCUAUGAAAAUCUCAUUCAGCAAAGCUCCUUAGUAAAUAUUACUCACAUACUUUGAAAAAGUUAUCUAGCAAGCUUGUUUCUGUCCCCUCAAAAUAAAAAAUAUUGAUACAUACAUGACCCCAAAAAAGGAUACUAAUCGAGUAAGAAUUUUUUUGUAGAGGACACUAGACUUUUAUGUUUGUUCCCAAAUUACCACUAUAUUGAGUAAGAUUGUGUUGAGGUAAUAUGGGUAGUUAUGACAAGAUUGAACUUUAUUGCUCUUCUUUAUUUUUUUAGAACUUUUUUUGAUGGGUUUAUAAAUUUAGUUUAAAAUUACAUUACUUCCCUUCAUGGAGACUUUAAGUUCAAUAUUGGAUGAAGGUCUUUUUUUUCAUUUUAUACCAGAACGGGAAGUAUACGUAAUUUUUUAAACUUGAAGGAUACUGAUUGAAAUUGUCAUAAACCUUAGGGAAGGUUUGUGAAAUUAUCCCAAACAAAAAACCUUUCUUCGUGUUGGAGUUGAAAAUGAUGCAAGAGUCAUCUUCAGGUUUGUCUUUUAGAUGACUAGUGUACAUAUAACUUUUAUAAUCUAAUUUUGCAUUUAUAAUUUUCUCAAGUAGGAAAAAGUACAAAAGAGAAAUUUUAGUUCUGCUAUGUUUGCCGAAAUAGCUCCGUAUAAACUAGCUAAUUUUGAAGAUGUUUUUCAAAAAUUUUACUGUAACAGUGUCUGUUAAAAACUUCUCUAUUUGUCAAAAACUUAAAUUCCUUAAAAAUGUUUAUAUUUCGGCUUUUUAUUUUAAUUUAAUCCAGCAGCCUUGUUCGUAUCAGGGUGGAGAGCAACAUCCAAUUUCCUAUACUGUUUCUUUAUUGUCUCAUCAAACACACCGACGACCAAGGAUCUCAUACCCGUCCACUUCUCCGUUCUCUAGAAACUGCGAAAGACACCCUAGUUCAGGGAACAAGGCUUUGAGCCUUGGAAGCAAAUCUCAUAGCUCCUCGUACAUCAUUCCCUGCCAACUUUUGCUCUGCCAUUUCUUUCCUCCCUGGCAAAUUGCCCCUUCUUUUUUACCUUCCAUUUUCACAAGGCCAGGAAUAAAAGAUUUUUCUGGGCACAAAAACACGUUACCCUCGUAGUCUCACUUCAUUUUCUGUGGUAUUGCAAAGAUUUUUUUUUUUUUUUUUUUUUUUGGGUCAUAGAGGUUUACUCCAAAAUUCAAAUAUUUUGUUAAAGUAACAUUGCCUUAUGAAUACUGCUGCGGCACGCGAUGCGCACGAUUAACUGAAACAAAGUUUACAUUUGCACUUACAGAUCUUUUCAUUCUAAGCCAUGUUUAUAGUUAUAUUAUCAUCCAGGAUUAAUAUUGUUGUAUGAAAAUCUCAUUCAACAAAAUUCCUUUGGUAGCUUAUUAGGUUGUUGGAGAUUAUGGAUUCAAGAUUUGUGUCAUCGUUUAUCAAGCUCUUGGUUGAUUCUAUGUGAUAGCAAAGUUACAGAAAUUAAUCUACCCAAAAAAAAAAAAAAACCAAUAAUAGAAAUUAAAGGUAUUACCUGCUAACUAGAAUAAGGUUUACUAUAGUCCUACUUUUUUAUUCUUCUUCCUGCAGAGACAUGUAAGGGUUGGUAAUUUGUACUAUUUCCGUAACCAAUGAGACAAGCCUCAGUCUCUUCUAACAUGCUUUCUAGUUUCUACCCGUUCUUGAAGGAAAGGAAACAAGACGCUAGUUGAUGGAGAAACUAAGCCAUAACUUCUGCAGUGUCUACAAAGGGUGCAAUGACGUUAAUUAGAGGAUGGGAUUAUUACAAUCCGAAAAAAUGUACAGAAUGAUGAUAGAAUAAGUGAGUUCAGAUUUUGGACUCUAUGAAGUGAAUUACAUCUACCAAACUCCUCUGAUAUUUCUUGGAAACUUAUUAAUCACCUCCUUUUAAUCAAUCGUGAAGAAAAGAAAAAAAAAAGAAGAGAAAAAAGAGACGACAAAAGUUUUUACAUCGUACCUAUAACUUGGUUUUCACAUAAUUAAAGAGUAAAUUGAUACCAUAUAACAACAAAAGAAAAUUUUCAAAGUAGGUACAUGAUUAUCUUGUGUAGUGGUCCAGGAGGUUUUGAUUUAGCGGCUAAAGUUGAGAUACCAGAAUUUAAACAUCUUGGAUUCAAAUAUUUUCUCUCCAUUCCUGUUUCUUAUAUCUCACUCUUCUCCUGUUAGAAAAAAAAAUUAAAACAAAUCAUAUUUAUCUAGUGUAGUGAAGAAGUACACGCCUAGCUAGCCUCUGUAAAAUCUGCAAGGAUGAGAUUCUAAUGCACCAAAAUUUAGUUGUUGCCUUAAACUCAACUGUCGAAAAUUUUUCUAACUCUGUUCAUUUGUUUUAACCAAUACUUUGACUUGUUAAUUGGGUAUAUAUUUCAUUCUAGACCAUAAUCCUAGCAAAAUCUUAAACCAGGAUUUGGAUGAAUGUUUCUUUGGAUAUAAUCAUGAGACAAAAUUUCAUAGGGAUACGGAUUUCAUCAAUUAUUGAGAUCUUCUUUACUAAUUCUAGAGGAUGGAGCAAUUGUUUUAUGCAUCAAAAACUAACCCAGGUCCUUGUCCUUUUUGUAUUUCAGUAACCAAUACUGGGGAAUGCAUAUGCUUUCUACGGCCAAAAUUCUACCCUUUUUCCUUUAGUAAAUGAAUGUGCUGUUUACCCCCCCAAAAAAAAAAAAAAGGCUGCAAUUGAAAGUGGUAAUGGCAAAGUCUUACUCACCUAACUUGCACGGGUAUCAUGCAUCUGUAGUUUUAGAAAAAUUCAAUGCCUGAAUUUAGCAUUAGUGUAACUGGGCUGACACAUCUUAUCUGAACUUGCCGCAUGACAUACAAACAUCCCAAGAUUUCUUAGCCCAAGUCAAAUAGUGGAUCUCCUUGAUGAUGGGCUCCAAGAACUGGUAAGCCAACAAAUUGUGAAUUUUGAUCGAGUUUGAUCCUAAGCAAUAUAUUUCAUCUGCUCUUUCAGACAAUUUAUAUGUUCAAUAUGUUGUGGAUGGUUAAAUAAUUCUCUGCACAAUUUACAUGUGGCAGUCUUGAAAGCAAUGAACAUGGCAACAAGAUACCAGGUGAAUCCAGGACAGCAAAUUUUGCGGGUACACGGGAAAAAGUUUCUAUCGCCGUUUGGAUUACUAUUUUCUGGAGUUCUUUGUAGAAAGAUAUAUUAUAACGAUUUAAUAUACGUGAGAUAAAGAAGUAAUUGAAAAAUGUGUUCAUGAAAAAACGUAAAAAUUUUUGAGGAAAAAUGGCAAUCCGAACAAGGUAAUUUAAUGUUCAACUGUAUGAUGAGUAGCCUUUCUGGCACAUUAAUUGCAUGUUAACAGUUGGAUGUGUUCUUGUUACCUGCUUUGAACAGCUUAUGUUCUCCCUUUAUCAAACUUAUGUGAGUAAUCAGCUUUCUAGACUUCGUACUUUGCAACAUCCAAUGAACCAUAAAGAGAAUGUAAUAAUUCAGGAUUCAUGUCAAAUCAAAAUUGAAUUUAAGCAAUAUCUGCAUAGCUACAGAAAGAGCCCAAAAGUGUGGGAUAAUUGGCGAAGGGGGAUAAGGUUAUGUGUGAUCUUUGAGGCUGUAGGUUGUACUUGAUUCUCUUACCGCUUCUGAUAACCAGAUUGAGAUUUUACAAGUACAAACAAAGAAUUUGUAGAAGCUAUAUAUUGAUAAUUCCUAUGUAGCAGCCAGGUCUAACAUAAUAUGUACUGAAUCUGAGAAUUUGCAAUCAAUAUCUCCUUCCAUUUUCCAUUGCAUCUAAAUCUUGGCUUCUGGAUUCAGGAGUUGCUGUUACGUGGUUUCGCAUGUGAUCCAUUUCUAUGUUUGUUGAAUUCUUUGAACCAUUUUCCUCCAGCAGUCGAAGAAAUGUAUGAGUAGCCCCCCCUGCAUUUUGCAGAAAGAGUAAGAGAAUCAAAUUACUGAAGAGUUCCUAUACAAUAUUUAUUCAGGAUCAAAAUGGACAUUCGAAAAACAGAAUUAUGGAUAUUCGAAGUUAAUGUACGACUUCGAAUGCAUGCUUUGUUUUUUCUGAUAAGCUGAACAUUUCAAUCAACAGGGACCAAAUGCGUAACUUAUUAGCUGAAGGGAUUCAGCUCAUAUUCUGGAAAAAUGACUUUCCCAGAACCACGAGCAAGUUGUUUAAACUCACCAUUUAUGCCAUGUGGAAAGGGGAAGAACUGCAGGUAGCACAAAGAGCAAACUACUGAUCCUGCAUUUUGCAACAGGUUACUAUUAAGAGAUCUUUACAGUGCUUGCUCAAGGAAGAACUCUUUCAACUUUCGUUUAGUUAGUUUGACAAACCUAUUAAAGCUCCAGCAAAUACAUCCGUCCAGUGAUGCCAAUAGUCAUCCACACGUGAAAUACCAAUUAGCGCAGCAACAAGAAGAGGAAGAAUGACAAGGCAGAGUUUUGCCACAUGCCCCCUCUGAUCAAAUGCUUUAAUUUUCCCGCAUAAGUACCAUGACAAGAAACCAAGGCCAGCAAAGGACCCUGCAUGGGGAAGGUACUUCGAUUAGAUUAUCAGAAGUUAAUUAGAUGGAAGAAAGAAACAUGAGCACAAUUACGUUUUGUGUCUGUAGACUCUAGUCAGAUGUGACCUUUUACUUAAGGGGGUGACCUGUACCAAAAACACUACAAUUACAAACACAUUUUCCAAACAUAUUAAUUUGUCUACAAAUGGUGUCAUGAACUGGUGACAAGAAAAGAGCAUGUGCUAUCUGUUAAAGAGAUCAAAAGCAAGAAAGCUUGAAUGAGAAAUCACAGCUCAUUAUUGAUGAACUGAAGGCAGAUUUUUGAUAUCCAGACUGAAGAAUCAUCUGAUACUGACAGGUAUUCUGACUUACAUGAAGUAUGCCCGCUUGGAAAGCUUUUGUAUCCUUCUUUGAUAAUACUUUGGUCUCCUGAGCACAGCACAUCCCCAUUUCCCUUCUUAAACACCUAGACAUUAACAAGACAAUCCAUUUAGCAGGUAAUACAUAAAGACUGGCAUAAGCAUAAGCCCUUUGCUGAGCAAUAUAUAGUACGCACCGGCACUCCAUCAGGGAAGCACCUCCAGAAAAAGUCAGGGCGUGGUCGACCAACGGCAUCUUUGAUGGAAUCCGUGAUGACUGCAGUUACGAGUAUCGAAAAUAGAAUGCCUGCAAUAGGAUUGCCCAUCAAUGACAAAAUGAACUACUUUAGAUGAGCAAAAACCAAAGAAUAAUGAAAUCUUAGUUUCAGUUAACUGUAAGUAUUACCUAAUGUAGCAUGAUGCAAAUCAUAAACAUCCCUUCUGAUGAGAUAAUAGAUGAGAAAUAUUGUGCAGGGGACAAUUAUUGCAAAAAUCUGUUAUACAGAGAGCAUGAUCAGGAACACGACAGGCGAUAAUAUUUCAUAGAAAGCUACAAAUUCCAAAGGCAGUUUUGCGUAGGCCAAAACAGGAUUUGUAGGAUUGGCUUACGUACUGGAACUGCCCAAAAUGGUAUAGUGUCUGGAAUUUUCAAGGGGUAUUUCAGAUCUGUCAUCAUCUCAGGCCCAACGUAGCGAUGAAAUGGUUCUAUAAGAUUUAAGCCAGCAUCUAUUAGUACCAAGAGCAGGAGAAUUAUCCAGUCAUGCAAGUGGACUCUUGCAACCUUUGUUCCAUGGGAUUUCAAAGUGUGCCCCCCAAAUUGAAUUCCUGGCAUCUUUACAAGUAAUCUGCAUCAACAGAAUUGAAUUGUAAACACUAAAACUUGACAACAAGGAAUAAAGCAUUCAAUUAGCAUCUUAGACGUGUAAGAGGGAAGCUAAUACAACCAUGACAAGAACUCAACUAAAUUACAAAGAGGAAGUUCUGGUACUUUGAUUUCCAUAACAGCCUUGAACAGGAAACUUGAAGCAUGAGAUGGAAAGUCCAAAAUGCACUUCUUAAGAACUAAGAACUGUAUGCAAUAAUGCAAAAGUGCAUGUCUUUCCUAGGGGUGAAUGGAAUGAAAGGACUCUGUGAAGGUUUUAGCAUCAAAUGUUUAUUGCAAUACAUGGAUAACUAUGCAGAUGCACUUAAACUGUAACAAUAUCCUUAUUGCAGUAUUAAAGUCCUUUUUCAACCAGAAUGAACUGUGAACCAAUUCUAGUGUUUUUCACAAUUAAGGAUCAAUUGAUUUUGUAAACAAGCAAAAACAAGAAGAUACGUACAAUUUAGUUAACUAUAUGUAAUCACCAACAUUAUGUCUAUAUGGUAGAAAUGACCUGAGCUGAAACAGCAUCAAAUUCAAGAAGAAUUAGCCCCGUAUGACUUCUGAGACAGAUGAAUGGACGAUUUUAUUCUUGAAAUAAAUUUAUGCGAGGAGGAAUAGCCUCUCAUAUCCUCAAAGAAAUCCAGUAAAUCAUCAACCAAAUCAUAAAUGCUAAGCAUUUCUGCAUCUGACAUUACUAAAAUGAAAGAGGGAAUUCGUACUUCACGGAAAACUAAUCCAGGGAUUGCAGGAGCACGCGAACAUGGGGGGACUCCUCGGAAUGUGGCUAUGAAGAACACAUGCAAUGACCUGAAAUUCAAUAACUGAAUAGAUGAAUAAGAUUCUCAAAAGGGUUUAUGGCAUAAUUGUUUAAAAGUUGGUUAUCCAUUGAAAUCGGCAACAAGAAGAAAACCUGAAUAGGAUGCUCGAAAAUCUUGUAAAUUUCCUAAAAAUUUCUUAAAGUGCUGACUUUUGGGGAAAAAAAUUAAGGUAACUUUAGCAUAUAUCAUUAAUACAUCCUUGAAAAAUAGUGUAAGCGGAAAUAAAUUAUUGAUGCACCUAUGAUUGUGGCUAGAAGAAAGGAUCCAGAUCCUGACGUCCAACACAUUCCAGAGAGUGUCCAGGAUUAUUUCUAGUGGGGGAGAGUUUUACGUGCAUGUGAUACUUGGAUGCUGCAUGCCAAUUAAUUAGUACUGCUAUAUAAUAGGAAGCCCCCUAACCUUAAAUUCUUUAUGCCCAUAUAGUACUUGAGGAGGUAUGCUAGCCUAGCACCCAUACUAUCUGAAGACAGCAUCUAGUCCUGAAGAUAAAGAAGAAGAUCAUUUUAGAAUGGCUAAGCAUAUUGUGUUUGGUAGAACUUACUUGACGUGUCUAUUAGGAUACAUCUGCAGGAAUUAUGCAUAUCAAAGGUUGGUAUGGUCAAUAUUUUUUUUUUUUUUCACUUUUUGAUCUCAUAAUCCUUGCUACAUUUUGCUUUAUCCAUUUGACAACAAAAAGAUAUAUAUCCCAUAAUUCACUUCAUUCUAUUUAGUGAUAGGAGAAAAGGUGAAAAGGGAUAAACAAUAUACUGCUAAUUAACGUCCUCUAGCUACUAGCAUGAUUUUCAGCGUUUUUACUCGAUUGUUUGGUUUAAGCCAUAAUUAAUCACUUGACACCAUGACACCGAACCUAUGAUUAUAGCCCCUUACAGGAUACAAUGGCUUGUGGUUUACGCAACUAUUAUUGCAAAUGAAUUAAACAUGCAACCAUGAGGUGAAACCUACUAAGUGCAUGCAAAUAUGUAUAUAUUUAUUUGGUUUAAAAAAAAAAGUUUAGAUUCUUAUUAAUCGCUUAUCAAUACAGUUCUCGCCUCGUCGACAGCAGAAUUCAAAACACAUGAAUUUUGUUGAGAAAGUGGCUCAAUUGUAUACUCUUUUUUUUUUUGUGUGUGUGAUCAAACUCAGAGAGAUUUGAAAGUGUUAACUACCAAUGAAUGGGCUAUAACAUCCUUAAAGUACUAGCCCUCAACAAUUAAAUUUCGGACAAGGGGCACGGACGGUUGCAGGUACAACCGUCCCCAACGGUUUUGGCCAUUUUCAAUAGCGCGUAACUUUGAUUACACACGGCAUAACUUUAUUUGCACAACGUGUAACUUUAGUACAAAAUUUUGCGAGCCCCACACACAGUGUGAAAAUCGAUGUACAGUUUGUUAUUUGAAUCGCACAAAUUUUUUUGGCCAAAUCAUGACCUUUAACUGCUCAGGAACGGUCAUCAGAAUGACCGUCCCUGCCCCAUUUCCUUAAAUUUCGAGUUUCACCAAAUAGAUUGGGAUGGUUCCAUUGCCCACUGGCUGGCUACUGUGUGCAGUCUUCCCUACAAAUCGUUAACUCUCUUGGGAUCCACUCUUGACUCAACCAUCACAAGUUCGCAAAUCUUAAGGAAGCACAAAGCCAGAAGAUUUCAUAGAUUUGAGGAUUGCUUUAAUUGCCCGCCAUUUUACUCACUAUUAUUCAUGCAUUUACCAUAUUUUUAGGUCACCAUUCAUCUGCAUCAAUUCAUUCUUUUAUCAUAUUUUCUGUUGUACCACACGUGAUCCUUUCUCCUAGCGUGUUUUUCUAGCCUAUUCUUUCUUGACAGUUGUAAGUUGAUCAUACAAGUAUUAUAUCAAUGUGGGAUCCUAUAUUUCUUUUGCCUAACAUGAAGUUUUUUGUUUCGUGUGGAUAUGCUAUUGAGACUUCAGAGAGAGUAAAAAAGAAAAUGAACUUUAAACUUCAAAGAAAGGAUCACAAAAUACGUUUUAUGCUACUUGCACUACUCGUGAGAAAGUGGCAUAUGCAUUCUUAUCCAUGAUUGAGAAGUGAAGCAAGAUUAUCCAUCCAAUUUCAACUCAAAAUCUCCAGAAAAUUACACAAGUUUCAUAGUUGAUCAAUAUGUGAUUUAUGUGGAUCCAAUGGUUUUUUUUUUUUAACCGAACUUAGAAUGGCACACCACAUUCAGCAGAAAUUAACAGUAGUUGACAAUUACAUUCCCUUUCCUUUGUAUAGCAACUCAACCCCCCCCCCCUAGAAAAAAAACCCACAAAUUUGUCAGCUUAAGAUCAGCUGAACCAUGUACAUUUUGUUCAUUAGUUUGGUGAAAUCACUUUUAUCGUGCUCGCCAUUUCUGUUGUUUAGUAAGUAGUAAAUUUUUGUGUGCUUUUUAACCAACCCUCGAACAAAGCAAACAAGCUAAGAUGUAAACAUGGUGUGGACUUUUUUGCUGCGUUAAGUGCUAAGCCUCACUUGCAACUACUAGAUGUAAAUUUAAAUUUACUUUGGAUUGUGAAGAUAGGCAAGCUGUAUCCAUUGAGUAAUCCAAAAGCACUUUUAGGAGUUGUCAAAAAUAGUACAGGACAUCAGUAAAAAUCAAGCAUUCAGGAUUCAGCUGGUCCUUGUACAUCUUUUACACUAGUGUUCCCCAUCUAAAAGGUCACAACCCUUUUUUCUUUUGUGAAAAGCCACCAUCCUUUCAACACCAGGCUGAUGGAUCCACCACCCCAUCCUUCCAUGAUACCUGCAUCUAUUCAAACUGCUACAACGACCAAUAAUCACCAGAUUCACCAGAACUACCCUGAUUCAACGAACUCUUCGCCACGGUCUCAACAUAUAGAUACAUGGGAUGAACCUCUACCACCAGUUCCGGGUGCCAAAUUGCGCCUGAUGUGCAGCUAUGGAGGUCACAUUAUUCCUCGUCCCCAUGACAAGUCUCUCUGCUAUGUAGGUGGUGAUACACGCAUUGUCGUGGUGGACCGCCAUGCCUCUCUCUCAGACUUCCAUUCGAGGCUCUCCCAGACACUCCUCAAUGGCCGCCAAUUCGUUCUCAAGUAUCAGCUUCCCAAUGAAGACCUGGACUCCCUUGUCUCCAUCACUACUGAUGAGGACCUGGAAAACAUGAUAGAAGAGUAUGAUAGAAUAAACUCAGCUUCACCCUUGAAACCUCCUCGCCUUCGCUUAUUUCUCUUUGCUUUCAAGCCUGAAACUGCAGCUUCAAUGGGAUGCCUGCUUGACGAUGCAAAGUCUGAAACGUGGUUUGUUGAUGCUUUAAAUGGUGCUGGUUUGCUUCCUAGAGGACUUUCAGAUUCAGCUGCUGUUGAUAAGUUGCUGGAACUUGAUGAGCCUCGAGUAAACGUGGAUUCUGGUACAGUUAUAGAGGCUCAAAAUUUGACUUCAGGUGGCAACAAGCAAGCGAUUAAUAACGCCAUUCAGGAUGUACAAUCAACAUUUUCUGAUUCACCUAUGGUGGAAACAACCUCUUCAUUUGAGUCUAGUGUUUCGUCUCCGUCCAUGUCGAAUCUUCCUCCUAUUAAGGUUAGGAUUGAUGAGACAAAUGCAAGAUUGGGUGGAUUGGAUGAACAGUUCUCUCAGAUGAAUGUUGCUUCAAAUGCACAAAAGCAAGAUGAUCGAUCCAUUCAUAUGGGAACUUCACAACCACCUAUUCCUAUAAUCGUUGGUGGGGUUGGGGUGCACUCUGGAGCUGUUACAGGGGAGAAUGUGACUCGCAUUAUCUCAGAUGAUGAGAAAUCAGAUCUUGGAGCACCACCUGGUGGACCCCGGAAACCUCCUCUGCCUUUGCAGUCUGUACCAAGAAAAUUUGGAGAUGCUUAUAAUUUGCCAUCACCAGAUUCGAAGCAUGCUGGAGGUUACAACUUGCCUUCACCUGAUUCUGUAGCCAGGUAACACAAUCUCUAUGAUGUUCUCUGUUUCUUGAGUACCUUAUUUUUUUCGGCUGAACAAGUUCAUAGAGGACUAAAUAGCCUAAAGGGAUUAUAGAGGCGGCUCAAUCAGACUCACAAGCUCGUCUCCAUCACUUUCAAAUAUAACAGCUGUAGAAAAAGUCUCAACAUUUAUCAGAUCUUUUACCAUUUUCUUCCUUAUGCCACAUUUGCGUCUCGAUUUGUUAAAAGUAGAAAUGUAGUUAUGUAGCAUGUGCUACAGACAAUCCUCAAAUUAGGGUGAGACCAUUCCUUUUAGGAAUUGGGACCCAAAAUUUGAUGGAUGGAACAAAGUGACAUAUACAGGGGUAUUUUUUCACAAUGGUUUAGGUAUUGUUGGAAAUGAACCAGAGAUUGGAGUUCCUAAUUCUAUCUGACAAGAAAAAUCUGUUGAACUUCAGGAUAAUUUUCUCUUUCUAGCAUGAGACGUUUCAUUGACUUACAUUAACGAUUUCAUUUUCCAGUGAUUCAAGCAUUGCAUCUUCUGCCUCUCUUUCCAAACACACAAUUUACCAGGACCCUGCUUCCUCUGCAACCAGAGAGAAUAGAAUUCCUUCUUCUGGGGUUGAUCACCAGAGUAAUAUUACGGAUCCAAGCCCUCUAUUUCAAAUGCAGCAAGUUCAAGAGACAAUGGUUCUGCCACCCUCGCAGCAAAACCAGCUCCAACAACAGUUCAUUCAAACCAGUGCACAUUAUAUCCAGCAUGCUGCAACGGGUCAAGUGCCAGUCUCAUCUUACUAUCCCGUUUAUGCACCCCCACCGCAACAGGCAAUUCAUCAACAAAUUGAUCAGCAGUAUCCAGUGUACUUGCUCCCUGUUACUCAAACCCAACCUUACAACCUAGCAGUGCAGUCCAAUAUAGUUGAUGCAACAUCAGUAGCCGCAGCCCGACCACCAACACCAACUCCAAACUAUGUUCCUUCCACUGCUUACAAGGAAAUUGCUCCACAAAUUUACCCUGCAAAAACAAUUACAACAAAGCCUGAAGUGCCAGCCAAUUUAUACAGAACAGCUGGUACUGCAACCCCAACAUUAGUUCAAGUUCCUGCCAACCAGUUUCAGCAACAAUACUAUAGCCUUUCUCAAAUGCCUCCUCCAUCACAGUCCAUUCCAGGUGUUUCUGCAUCUGUUACAAAUUAUGGCUAUGAAUAUGCUCACCCAACACAUGAUCAGGCAUACUAUGCUCAACAUCCAACUGCAACACUACCUCAGUACCAAACAAUUUCCCCAGCUGCAGCAAUAAUGUUAUCACAGACUUCUACUCAAUUGGCUACAGACGACACCUCACAACAAAUAAGUAGCACACAAUUAUAGAUCGAACGAGGAUUCGAUUGAGGUGCUCCACUUAUUCAGGCUCUGAUUGGACAGUUUCUUUGCAGGCAAUGUGGUAAUUUGGAUUGGGAGUUGUGGGCUGUUUUGGCAUUUUGGAUGUGGUUGCAAUAGGAUUGUGUCUUUCAUGUGUUAGGUGGUGGUGAAUGUGGCUGCUAAAUUAUUGUCUAAUUACGUAUUUGUCCUUCAUAAUCAUUUGUGCCCUUAUGGUUCAGUUGGUGGAUUAUAAAAUAAUAAUUAAUGGUGAGAUAAUGGGUACUAGCCUGGUAUAUUUUUUACUUUUUAUGUACUCUUGUUUGCUGUUGGUUUCAAUUAGCAUCAGACUCCAAGUUUUCUAAUUUAACGAUUGGCUCUGCGUUUCUUCGGACAUCUGGCACUUAUUGUUGAGUUUUAAUUUUUGCAUUUGUUCUUGAUUGUUGUUUUACGAGACUAGUAUUUUACUGUUAAGUUGGGCUGUGUUUGAAGAGAGUCCUCCUCAACAGGAAUGAGAGUAGCACCAAUUAAACCAGAUCCGUUUGGGACCGUAGCAUACGUUAACAAAAGAACCUCUUACAGCAUUUACUUCACAUGUACGACCAACAUAUGUUAUGUUAUUGUCUGACUAUUCCAGUUCCAAUUUCCACACUCCCAAUGAGGACGUGAUGCAAAGAAAGCUCAUCAAGUAUAAACAACAUUUUUUUUUUUUUGUUGGGGUACGAUGUAUAAAGUAUAAACAACAUCUAAACUUGUACUUGGGGACCCAUCCAUGACUAAAAUCCUAAGAAGAAAGCAUGACUUUUGUAGUUUUUGAGUUCUGUCCUCAUGAUGAUACAAAUUGGAAUCUAGUAACAUCUGGAUUUUAAUCCUUGGAAGUAUCAAGAGCAACCCCAGCAAACUGAAAGUGAAAGAUGUUUCACACACUAGUUCACCUUCAAUUUCAGACACUGUAAAAUGGCAACCAUUUCCUACUCUUUUUCCACUCCUAAGCUCUCAACGCUCCACUAUUCCAGGCAAGCUCUAGUCUUUCUGAAAGUGCCAAGUUCACCAUAACAGAUACUUAAAAGCUUCAAAUCAAGGUAAACUAACCGUUUUUUUCCUUUUCUUCUUAAGCAGGAAUUUCAAGACCAACAGCUGUCUUUCUCUCAAUCAACCUAGUGCAAAAACCACCAAUGCCUCAGCAGCGGCAGCCGCCUCAGAAACUCUCAAAGUUGCAUUCGCCGCCGGUGGGACCGGAGGCCACAUAUCCCCCGCUGUGGCAAUUGCAGAUGAGCUUAAAAACCAAAACCCUGACAUCCAAAUCCUCUUCAUAGGCACCCCAACCGGGAUGGAAAGCGCCGCCGUCCCCUUCGCCGGCUACCCAUUUGUCGCCAUCCCGGCAGCCCCUUUAGCCCGCCCUUUAAUCUCUGUUCACAACAUCUUCAUCCUUCCUUUCCUUCUGACAAAAUCCCUCGUCAAAAGCUUCCAAACCCUUCAAGAGUUCAGCCCACAAAUAGUAAUCGGCACUGGUGGCUAUGUUUCUUUCCCCAUUUGCCUUGCUGCAGCAAUGAAAGGUUUAAAAUUGGUAAUACAAGAGCAAAAUUCAGUUCCUGGAAUUGCAAAUUGGGUGCUUUCUUUAUUUGCUGAGAGAGUUUUUGUAGCAUUUAAUUCUAGUGUGGACUGUUUUUGGCAAAGGAAUAAGUGUAUAGUCUGUGGGAAUCCAGUGAGGUUUUCUUUGAGCAAGAAUGUGGUGAAGGCUGAUGCAAGAAAGCAUUUUUUCCCUAAGGCAGUUGAGGGUAUAGGGAAGGGACAAGGGAAGGUAGUUUUGGUUCUUGGAGGAUCUUUGGGUGCCAGUGCGAUCAAUAUUGCAUUGUUGAAUUCUUAUUAUGAGAUGUUGAAUCAGCGUGAGGAUUUAUUCAUCAUUUGGCAAACUGGGGUGGAAUCAUUUGAUGAAAUGGAAAGUCUUGUCAAGAACCAUCCUAGACUGAUUCUGAAGUCGUGAGUUUUUGUUUCUCUCGAAUGCUUUCUUGUUUUUUUAUUUAUUCUUAUUUGCUUGGAUUACGGUUAGUCCUUACAUCGUUUUAGGGCUAAUGUUCUCUGUUUCUCGUUAUUUUUUUGGAUUCUGAUUAGCUUUUGUAUUGUGAAGGUUCUUGCAUUCUAUGGAUUUGGCAUAUGCUGCAGCAGACCUAAUCAUAUCAAGGGCUGGGGCAAUGACUUGUUCUGAGAUUUUGGCAACCGGAAAACCUUGUAUUCUGGUAUUAAAGAAUUCUUAGUUGUCUGAUAUGUAUCAAAUGUGGUUAGUUGAUUUAGUUAAAUGAUUCAUCGUGCCAAACUAUGAUUUCUUGGUUGCCAGGUUUCCAACCCUGAGAAUUUUGAUGCCACUAGGUUGCAGCUUUGGUUCCCUUCACCUCACACACCCCUCUCCUCUGGACCCAAAGAUAUCCCCCCUACUUCUUGAAUAACCUUAGAGAAGACACAUGAUUUCUUCUGAUAGUACUAUCCUUCCAUUCGAGGACAACUAUUGCAUGCUCAUGACGAUUAGCAAAACGUUGCAAAGUCUUUGAUAGGUUUCUCUGACUGCAGAAGUUAAGCUCUGCAAUUUGUAUUGAUAACUAAAUACUCCUUCAUUACUAAUCAUAAUAGAAGAAUUUCAUGGGAAUUUCAUUGCUGAUCUAUAAGCUGUAGUUGUGGUAUUUACAUUAUUAGAUACUUAGAAAAACAACUAUCCAUACAAACUCUAUUGGUGAGUUCAACCAUGAUUGUUAACCAUCUUUUGAGUUUUGUAGAUACCAUCACCCAACGUUGAUGAAGGGCAUCAGCUUAAAAAUGCAUUUUUGAUGGCUGAUUUAGCUGGUUCAAGAGUUAUAACAGAAGAUGAACUUGACUCAACAACCCUCAGAACUGCAGUUGAAGAAAUUCUAGGUAUAAUCAGUUUACCACCCUGUAAGAUCCUUGCUACAGUAGUUCAGAAGAAAAAAUGUGAGUUAUUUCACUCAUGCAGUUGUUUUGAUGGCUCUGACAUAUUUAUGCUUCUCCUUCUGUCUUUUGAAGGUCAUGUAUGCGCAAUCUAUCAGAAAAUCAGAACGUAGUUAUUUUAUCUAGUGUCUGCUCCUGUAUAUUUUUGUAUAUAUUCGUCCAAAUGCAGCUGUGUUCUUGCCAAAGAGAACCCUUAGUAUAGUCCUAGCAUAUUUGUUCAGUAGCAAUAUUCCUUUGUGGACUGAAUAUCUUUGCUUCCAUAGCGAUCCAUUUCCUUACUCCAACAGUGCUAUACCACUGAAUAGUGUACAUACUUCGAUAUAUGCAGACAAUGAGAGCUUGAUGGUAGAGAUGUCUCAGAGGGCUCUCCAGGCUGCAAAGCCAAAUGCCUCCAUUGAAAUUGCUCAAUACAUUCUUUCUGUUGUCAGUUCAUCAAAGUGAACAAAAUGAAGGUGAAUCUGUGAAGGAUGUGAAACUUAAUGUUCAACAGUUCUGACAGAAUCAAGGUGUGUCAACUUCAGAGACUGCCAUUCUUUUGACCAUUUAAAGUGAUUAAGGAUUCUUGAACCAAUCAGAUAGGUAUCUCACUGGAGGUCAGAAGAUUUGUCCCGAAGACUGAUCUGCAAGUCUAAGUUUUGAGAUGGUUGUUGAGUAUUCCUGUUCGGUGAGACUCCUUGCUGUUGCUGGGCUCAAUCUACCAAUUUAGACACAUUAGCAAAAUUGUGGAUCUUGCUUUGAUGUUUUUCUUUUUCUUACCACGAUGAGAGAUACGUAUACAGGAAGAAUUUAUUAAUCAUUUCAACUGAUUCGUUUCUUAUCAUGCUUGGUUUUGUCCUGAUUGACAUUUUGCUUUAACUUCAUGAUUAUUUUAUUACAUUGUAUCUAAUCAUUGCUUUAACAACAUAAUACCUUUUUAAUCAUGGCUAAUUAAUUUGUGUGCAUUGGAUUAGAUCCCAAAACUGGCAGCACUUCCAAAAGAAGAGAAUUUAGAGGACUAACGAGAAAAAACCAGGUACAAUGUAUGAAAAUUGAGUAUAUAAUGAAGUAUGGGUGGACGUGUUUGAGCUUUUCGACAAAGGAGGUCAUAAGCCAAGAAGUUAUUCAACAAGUUUCGUCCACCAAAUGUACUAGGACACAAUUGCUAUAGAACUUGCCAAACUAACCCAGAACUUAGUAUAUUAAUUAUCUAAAUUUGGUUUAAAAUAUUCUAACACAGGUUUUUUCUUUUUCUUUUUUUUUGACAAUUUCUGAGGACAUUUUUUUAAAGGCCUGGCCUUCUUUUAUUUCUAAAAUUUUCCAAAGAUAAAGAAAUAAAAUACUUCUAAAAUUGCUUUGCCUGUUUUGGUCCUUUCUUUUCUUGAAUCUCUAUUUAAGAAAGCUAGAACUUAACCUGUUAUGUUUUCGUACUCAUUAGGUAUUUCAUUAGCAGAUUCAAGUACACCAAAGAAGUGCUUCAAAAUAUUACCACUGCCCAAGUGCCAUGACAACGUUUGCAGAGACAAGUGCGUGAAAGUAUUUGGAGUUUCACAUGCAUACUAUUACUUAGUUUGUCUGCAGUUGUUUUCAUUCAAAUAUUUCCUGCCAAUGUGCAUUUGAUUGCCCCUAUUCCACCUCCUACCAACAAACUGAAACAAUUGACUACUUGAUGAUGCCUGUUUCAGUCUCCAGCCAUAGUGAAGAACUUAUUACUAUGGAUCAUUAACCUAAUUUAUGAUUUUCUAAUGCUGAGGGUUCUUAUUAAUUUCUUUCAUAUUAGAACAGGAAGAAAACAAUAAUGUAAUGUACAUUAUUACAUUAAGCAUCGACCCAAUUGAGCUCAUUGAAAACCAACGAGAACUAAACUAUUAUCAGAUCACAUGAGUGCACAGACGGUACACAUAUGAUGGCAAAUGAUGGGAGACAAAGAGGCAAGGUUUAAACUCUUGACCUCCUAUCCCAUCGAGACUUUAAGUCUUAGGUGAUGGCUAACAGCCCAAACAGCCGUUGGUUAAUAGAUAGUACUACAUGAUAAGCUACAUUCUAAAAAAUUAGAAACAAGGAGGUUUAACAUCUCUACUUCUAUUAAAUGCAAUUUAAUUGCUAAAAUUAAAUGGAGAAAUAACUGUCAGCCCUUUACCAAAAGAUAGGUGUUAUUUUCCCUUUUCUUCCUACCUUCAACAAAUAAAUUCACUUGUGUCAACAAGCAAGUUUAAUAAAAUUUUGUUUUGACUUAAAAAAAAAAAAAAGAAGUUAAUUCCACUUCAAAUUUUAGAUAAUGAUUUGUACGCAUGAAGAAAAUGAUUUAUAGGUAUGGUAGGCCAUGUUGCGACCAUGCACGUAAUAUCUCCAGAAGCAGUAAUGUUGGCUGUCCCCCAAGCAACUCUACCUCUUUCUUGGAAAAAAAGACACUUUACUAUUUUCUCCACAAAUAUCUACUAACUAAUGAAGAACCAAUGCACAUUUAGAUUUGAGAGAACUUGUAAAAAGACCCAAUCAUGAAACAUGUUGGUUUUCUCCGAUUGGAAGUGCGGUCGCAGACCCACUUCCCAGCCGGUAGCUCCAGACCUGAUGCCCCUGUCAUCGUGCAUUCGGCGGCGAAACUUAACAUGCGAGCUGUUAGCAGCAUUGCCGGCGCCGGCGGAAAGGUUUCCGAUAAGCCCUCCAUUUGUACAGCUGACGAGCUCCACUACGUACCGGUGCCGGACUCCCAUUGGCGCCUCGCUCUAUGGCGCUACAGGCCCUCCUCCCCUGUGGUAUGCAUUUAAAUUAACGUCCGUUUUCUUAUUUGCCUUUCUGCACUUUUACGAAAUUUAGUUUUGUGCUGGCUAUCUUUUUCUUUGGUAGGGGAUUAAGAGGAACCAUCCCCUGUUAUUGUUGUCUGGAUUGGGAACAAAUGCAAUUGGCUAUGAUCUUGCUCCCGGGGUGAGUUUCCUUGAUUUUUUUCUUGGCCUUUUUUUAGCUUUUUCUUUCUGUUUUAGCCUUCUUUGGGCUAUUUUCACCUUGAUUGCUCCUUUUUUUUUAAAAUCCUUAUUACAAAACUGCUGAUACUUAUUUGCAUGAGUAUGUAGACGUCUAUUCCUCAGAAAUCAACUUUAAAGUUGAAUUGGUACCAGUUUUUGGCCAUUCUAUUGAAUAACUUGGAUUUAUGUUCAUUUUUUACCCCUGGUGACUAUAGAUGGAUUUGUGGAAAACAAACAUUUUUCAGUUUACUAGAUCAAAGCUGACUCAUUACCGUUCUUUCAUUCUUGUUGCUCGUGAAAAUUACUAGUACUUCAAGGGCAGAAAAUUGGUUUGUCAACGCUUGGAAUUGGAUAAGAGUGUACACUAGAAAUCAGAACAGCCAUGCUAGCCAUCUCCACAAGAAGCGCUCUAUUAUCCUGUAUUUGUAGAUUGGCAUUUUGCUGAGCUUUGUCCUUUUACUGCCAAGCUAACUGCUAGCUGACCUUGUCAUUGCAUGUCAUUGUAUUGUUUUGGGCAUCAUGUAUUUACAUUCUUCGGGCAUGAACUAACCUUAUUGCAGUCUUCUUUUGCACGCUUCAUGUCCGUUCAAGGAUUUGAUACUUGGAUUCUAGAAGUCCGAGGUGCAGGCUUGAGUGAAAAUGAUGGUAUCCAUGAAUUAAUACCUGCGCUUCAAUGCUACUUUUUAUCAAGCUGCUUCAAGUAUAAACAUUACGCAAAGAACCAAUCAUCCAAAGAAAUCAUAUGGUUAACUUUCCCAGCUAAUUUUUUAUCCAAGUUGCUUAAGUUAUAAACAUUUCGCAAAGAAUUACUGGCAAAUAUUAAUUCCCAUGCUUCUGAAAAAUCCAGAAAUUUUGUUCACUUUAAGUACAGAAAUCAGAAGCAGUGAAUAGAUCUGAUGAUUUUCUCCUAAGGGAGAAACUGAAGGAUGCUUUUGUGCAUAUAGCUGAAGGAUUCUCUAACUUGCUGAAUGAAGGUGAGGCGGUUGUGUGCUUUAGGUGUUUGAAUGAAACAUAGAAGUGCAGAAUAUAGAUACUAAAUUAUCAAACUUAUUAAAGAUGCUCAGUAGUUUGAAACCAAUUGCACUUGGCAACCUAUCAGGCUUAGCACGAGCUAGACAAGAUUCUGCUGCAAACCAAGUAAGGAAUUGGAGCCAAAAGCUUGGAAAAUUCUUUGCAGGUGGUCAAAAAUCAGUUGGUCUGCAGGAGCAGUUUUCUUUGCUGAUGGAUGACUUUCAGAAACAGCUUGAUCUCAUUCUCAAGUACAAUUGGGACGUUGAUCACUAUCUGGAGGAGGAUGUGCCUGCUGCGGUGAGGUGACAUUUCCCCAUUAGUGAUGAGUUUAGACCUCAUACAAACUCUCUUCUUCUGUUUAAGUUAUAUUUCUAUUUAGUACUUAUCUUGAUUUUAAAUAUUUUAUAUGUGCAAAUUCAGGAGAAUCUUGAUAUUGGAUAAUAUUGUAUGCGUAAAUUCAAGUUAAAGUUUCUAUUAAUGCAGAUGGAGUAUGUAAGGACCCAAUGUAAACCAAAGGAUGAUAGGUUGCUUGCAAUUGGCCACUCCAUGGGAGGCAUCCUGUUAUAUGCAAUGCUUUCUCAGAAUGGUAUGAUUUUAUGAUUAUUUCCUCAAUCUUUUUCCUGUCCAUACCGUUAAGAGAUAUUGAUGCAAUUGUUAAGUUUACUUUUGAGGACUUUGUUCUGCUGAUUUUCAGCUUCAACGGAAUAUAAUUGCUCCUGUGUGCUGUCAUGAUUGUUAUUCUUUGGUAGUAUUUAGCACAUUUUGGCCCCUCAAUUUACCUUAAUUCAAAAGGUCAUGGAUGUGAUAUGUUAAACUCAAAUGUGAUGGCAUAAAGUGGGAGAGUUGAAGGUCCAAAACGCAAAUGCUCCAGUGAAACUCUUUUCUGUAUCCAUCCAUCUAUUUAUGUGUAGAAAUUGCUCACUUGACUACAAAAAGAGAAGAAAGGAAAGCAUGAAAGAAAGAAUCCUUUUUUAACUUUUCUAACAGACGGGUUGAUCUUAGGAGGUUGAAGUUCAAUAUUCAAGCCCUAAUUUGACGUCAAGAGAUGACUAAAGAGAAAGGAAUACACGGAGCCAUUUAGCAAUAUUAGACACUGAAAGUUCUCAUCGCAACACUUUUGAACAUUCUUCAUAUAAUGCACACCUUAUCUGAUUUUCCAGAAUUUUGAUCUCUUGGCUUUUCAACAUGGACAUUGCAAACCCGGUUCAUAGAUCUAAAGAUAUCCUCUGUAGUCUGCUAGUAUUUUAUCAAAUUACGUUGUUAAAUAAGCAAUAUUUAUUCACUCCCGAAGGUUACAAAGGACGGCACUCUGAGUUGGCAUCAAUUGUCACGCUGGGAUCAUCUCUUGAUUACUCUACUUCAAGAUCAUCGCUUAGACUACUGUUGCCCCUAGUAAGUCAAAAGAAACAUAUCCUGCUUCUUCCUACUUCUAAAUUUCUCAAGGGUGGCUUCUUUGUGCAUUCAUCAAACCUUACGAGACGAUGGUCUUCUUUCACAGGUAGAUCCUGCACAAGCUUUGAGUGUCCCUGUUGUUCCAUUAGGAGCAUUCAUGGCAGCUGCUUUUCCUCUUGCAUCUCGUCCUCCAUACUUUUUGUCCUGGUUAAACCCACAGGUUUCUGCACAAAACAUGAUGCGACCAGAGAUGCUUGAAAAGCUUGUCUUGAACAAUUUCUGUAAGUAUGAGAGCAUUUUUCUUCUCUCACAACUAUUCAGGGGAUAAUUUAUUGAAAUCAAACUCGUUAUUUGGUGAUUGAAUGCUGGAAAAAGUUAGCUGACCUUGGCAUGAUUUCUUCUCUAACACUCUACUUAGGAGCAGCCUUCAAACUUGAGCAUUAAGGAAAUGAAGUGGCUUCGUGCCUUUGCAAGUGCUUCUGAACUAGUUUGUAAUGCCAAUCGUUUCCUGUCAAAGCAAAAUUAACACCUACAGCUAGUUUUAUGUCAACUUGUUUGCAACACUGUAGGCCAUUGCACUUAACCCCUUGGAGUUGAAAUCCUGUGCAGCCCUUCUACCAAAUAUUUCUUCUGCUAGUAUUUUAUUGCACUUAUUCUUAAUAUCAUUGUGCUAUCAUACGCUUUAAAGCUGUGUAUGAUAUGCAGGCACUAUACCUGCUAAUCUUCUCGUGCAAUUAAGAACAGUAUUCCAAGAGGGUGGACUACGUAAUAGGAACGAAACUUUCAUUUACAAGCAUCAUCUGAACAAGAGCAAGGUUCCCAUUUUGGCACUUGCGGGAGACCAAGACCUCAUAUGUCCUCCUGAAGCUGUAUUUACGGUAGAAACUCACUACACUUAUCUGUAGGUAUUAUAGAAGAUUGUAUCAACCUAUUCUUUAUGUUCUCUCCAUCUCUUUUCACGUUGACUAGAAACUGUAAAGCUAGUUCCGGGAAGUUUUGUGAAAUUCAAAGUUCUUGGAGAGCCGAGAGGUCCACACUAUGCUCACUAUGAUCUAGUUGGGGGUCGCUUGGUAUGUGUCCAUUCUGUAACCUUCCAAUUUGCAGAUUUAUGGUUCCUCAAUGCAAUUCAUUAUUGGAGCAAAUUUCCAACUGCAGGCACCAAAAGAAGUUUACCCAUGCAUUGUAGAAUUUCUUCAGCAUCACGAUCUGACUUGAAAUCUUCGGGAGACCACAGAGUGCAUAUGAUAUCUGUCUCUGUUGAUAAAGAGGGUAGCCAAAUGAAGAAUUGCGCCAGAAAUUCUGUACAAAAGUGCUGGCCAAUUACAUAAAUCUGAAAAUGUACUGAUAUCUUGUAAUGAAGAAUUGCUGGUGUCUAUGUCCAUCAACCUGUUCUACUUCAACUGCUUUUCCUUCCAACUUGCAGUAGUCUUUUUUGGCUGUGUUAUAGCAAUGUUUCUGGGGAAAAGUAUGAUAACCAAACAAACACUCGAUCUUCAGCAUUCUAAUUGUUCCAGAAUCCAUUAAUUCACUUUCAAUUAAGGACUUCAAGCCUGAAGCUCUCAAGUACCCAAAAAGCACCGAGUUUUGGUUCACUGAAUCUACAGAAUGACACUGUAUGUCCAUCUAAAACACCGAGUUUUGGAGGCAUAUGGAAGAAAAUUUAUAACAUUUGUAAUGCAAGACUAUUGAAAGCUCAAGUCAUGCUCUCUGAAUUUCAUAACCACAAUCUUACAUGAUGAUGAGGUUGCUGAAAACAAAAAGCUCAUCAAUUCGCUGAGCAUAUAGAAUUGAGAUACCACCUCAAAGAAUAACUUUGAUUUUCAACAUAAUGAAUUCUAUACAAUGAAAACAUUAACCGUCUGCAAGCUUCAUCUAAUCUAACCACGUGAAACAGCCUCAGUCUUACAAAUAGGACAGGCAUUUUUUUGGGUAAGCCACUUCUUUAUGCAUUGAAUGUGAAAUUGAUGUCCGCAGUUCAGCUUGCCCAUCUCAUCAUC